Molecule: long non-coding RNA, 49250 nt
Filed under: Citrus sinensis (sweet orange)
Lineage: Eukaryota; Viridiplantae; Streptophyta; Magnoliopsida; Sapindales; Rutaceae
Description: long non-coding RNA (CSIN_LNC000241)
Source: RNAcentral
GAUGCUCCAUGUUUGCUAGAUGCAACAAAUUGAGCGGUAGACUGUUGCAGUCUUCGAGGGACAGAGCUUGAGUGAUAUUCUGCAGCUUUGGGAAUUUCAGAAAGUUUUCAACACCACGCGAACCAUGUAAGGACAAGGUGAUGAGAUUUAAAUGUUCCAAACAGUGGAUUUCCUUCAUCAAUGAUUCAGCAUCAUCGGAUAGAACGUUGCCUUCUUCCACUAUUGGCCGGUGAGCAGAACCGCAAUGCAGCAUCCUGAGUACCUGUAACUUCGAAAAGCUGGAUAUCAAUUGCUGUGGAAUUUUACACAUUUCAUAUGUACAAUCCAAGUUCAAAUAUCUCAGAUUCACCAAUGCCUUGAGCUCUUGCGGCAACCCACGUACUCCAGUAAAAGACAGAUCAAGAUGGUGUAAUGAAACCAGACUUGAAAUCCCCACAGGAAGUUGAGUCAGGGAAUCAUUCUCACUUAGAUUUAAAACUCUAAGCGAAGGUAAAGAUUGAAAGAAACUCUCAGUGAUCUCCUUAAUAUGAUUAUCCGCUAGAAGCAAAGUCUGGAGACGCGGACAAUUGGGAAUUUGUGGUAGACUUUGAAUUUUGUUCUCCGUCAAGGAUAUCCUUUUGACCCCUUCCCAUUCUUCAAUCUUUGGGGCGUCAGUUAAUCCAAUUCCUGCACGAACCAAAAAGUUAUCCUCCUCCUCCUCUACUUCAUUUGCUAUCCAUAAUGCCAUGUCACGGAUCAUAUCGUGCAUUUUUACAUCAUCACCUCCUUCCUCCAAUAAGCAUGCACGAACGAGAGCACCAAGAACCCCCCACCCGCUGCUGGAAUCCACAAAUCCUUCACUUUUCCAAUACUCUAUCAACUCGGUUUUUAGAAUUUCAGAGUCUUCGGGAAAUAAGCAACAGUACAGGAGAGAAGAUCGAAGUUCAUCUUUCGGCAAACUAUCAUAGCUGAACUUUAAGCUCGAAAGCACCUUUUUCUCCAUAUCUUCGAAUUUAGAAGCUGAUGCGCUUAGGAUCUCAAUUGCUUCUUUCCAUUCUUCAGGGUACACUUUGCUGGCCAUGGCAUUACCUACUGUUUUGAGUGCUAGCGGCAAACCAUGACACUGACGUGCCACAUCCUCGGCUAACUUCGGAAUGUCGGGAUGCUUGUUAAGAACGUAUCUCCCGACCACCCCCUCAAAUAAUUUCCAGGCAUCGUCAUCUCCCAAACAAAACACUUUGUACCGAUUCUUAUGGGCUCCCAUUUUACCACAAGUACCCUCAAAACGAGUUGUGAAGACUAUUCUGGACCCAGAAUCUAGUGUCUGAAGAGGGACGCCCAAUUUGGUUAAAUCAAUUUCGGACUCCCAUAUAUCAUCCAAUAACAAUACAAACUUCUUAUGCUUUAAGGAGUUGGUGAUGUCUGAAGCCCUUUCUUCAAAACUUUUUCCCUGCCAUGAAUCUGUUGAGAAGCCUAUCCUUUUCCCAAUAACCUCUUGAAUCUGCUUCAUGUUUGGCUCUCUAGAUACAACCGACCAGAUAACGACAUCAAAAUCAUGCUCCUCACUGCAGAACUUGUUGUUGACUUGUUUUAACAGAGUAGUUUUGCCGAUGCCCCCCAUACCAUAUAAGCCAAUAAUUCCAUUAUUCUUUUUUUGAUCAGUGAUGCAUCUCCAAACUUGGUCAAGUAUUGAUUCUUGACCAACAAUUGUUCGGUCAACAGCUAUUGCAACCGCUGCACCUUCUGGUACCCCCUCAUAAACUUCUUUCAUUGCUUCUCCUUUUUCCCUCAAUUUGAUUACUUCUUCCUUCAACUUCUCCACCUUUUUGCCGAAGUCGUAGCUUGAAAUCAAGUCCNNNNCUUUCAAUUCUUUGUAAGUUUAAAUCCUUUUGUAAAAACAUUAGAUCACACUGUUUUGAUUUAAGUAGGUUAUUUAUUCUGUUUUGAUAAACAGAACAGGCUUUAACAAUAUUCAAAUUCCUUGUUUUAGGUUUUUCAAUAAAAGGGAAAACAAGUUUUUUAUUUUUUGCUUUGAAGGAUAUAUUAUCGUAAUUGACAGUAUAAGGAGUUAUAAGAUUUAUAAAAGGAGUUCCUAAAAUGAUGGCAUGAUGUAUGUCAUUUGUAAGAACAAAAGAAGUUUUAAAUUCAAUUUUAUUAUUAUAAACCGAGGCUUCAACUUUGGAACUAACAUUCAAUUUUGAAUUGUUAGCGGCAGAAAGUCUUUCUUUUGUUUUUUCAUGAAAUCUUUUGGGGACGAUCUCUUCUCUGAUGCAAUUUAAAUCGGCGCCAGUAUCAAAAAGGGCAAUGGCGUCCAUUGCAAAAUCAUCAGAAAAGAUUAAAGUGACUUUAAUCAAAUACUUUCUUGUGGUGAUUUGUUUUAAAACAAAUAAGAAAUCAUUGGGUACAGACUCAAUGUUUUCCACUUUAAUUUCAUCACCCUCAUCAGGAUUAGAUUCAUUAUCUGAAUUAUCCUGCAAUUGUUUUUGUAAAAGAAGUUGGAUAGUCUCAGAAUCACUUUUUUGUUUUUCCUUUAAAUCACGGAUUUCACAUUUGAUUUCUUUUAUCUCUUUCUGAAGAUCUUGGAUAUUAGGAACCAUCUUUUUUGUUUUCUUUUUAUCCAAAAUUUGAGUAAGAUCAUAAGAAUUCUUUUUGAUAAUUGGAACCUUAGAAAUCUCAGCUGAGGUUCCGGCUUUGUCUGAAUCCAUAGUUUUCAAAAGUUUAUCAAGAUAAUCCUUUUAAAGAUUUGGAUCUGAAAUAUGCUGCUGUACGGCCAAGGCGGAUGUACGGUACAGCAGAUAAAAUUUUAUUUAACUCUUUACAUUUAAUUUUAUUUUAUUGAAAUUUUGAAAUAUAAAUUCACCUUCUAUAAUUUUAAAAUUUUAAAAUAACUUCUAUUUAAUAAAAAAUAUAAUAAUUAUUAAAUAAAUCAUAAUUAUAAUUAUUAUUUUAUUAUAAUCAUAAAUAUAAUUAUAUUUUUUAAAUAAAAGAUUAUAUUUAAAAAAAAUAUAUAAUCAUCUAUUUAAAAAUUAAUGAUUUGACAUAUUCACAUUAUGCGAUUAAUUGAUGAUUCCAUUAAUUGCAAUUAAUUUUCUCUUAAUCACAGAACUUUUGGUAUUUUUUUGCUUGGAUGUUCUAUUAAUGGUGCCAUGCCAAAAUGUUUAGACAACACCAAAAGUGGCAAUGGAAAUUGGUGUGAGCUUCAUUCACAAAAAUAUUGAUAUUGUUGCAUAACAAUUAAAAAGUAAGUUAUUAGGGGAGUUACUAUAAAUACACUCACUGAAACUCUUAGCAUCAUGGGGCUUUUUUUGCAACCGUUAAUUGGCUCCACGAAUUCUAUUACAUAAAAGAAAUAGUAGGGAUUUGUGACUCUAAUUGCUCCCUCAAAAUCGUUUCCUUAUGAUUUAUAAUUCACAAAAAGAAUGUAAUAAAUAAAUAAUGUCUAACUCGCAUAUACAUAUAAAUAAUGUGAAUACGUCAAAUUGUUUAAAGUUCUCCAUCAAUCUUCUCUUUAUAUUGUUAAAAAAUAUAAUUAUAUUUAUUAUUAUAAUAAAAUAAUAAUAAUAAUUAUAAUUCAUUUAAUAAUAAUUAUAUUUUUUAAUUAAAUGGAGGUUAUUUUAGAAAUUUAAAAUUAUAGGGGGCAAAUUCUGCNNNNNNNNNNNNNNNNNNNNNNNNNNNNNNNNNNNNNNNNNNNNNNNNNNNNNNNNNNNNNNNNNNNNNNNNNNNNNNNNNNNNNNNNNNNNNNNNNNNNNNNNNNNNNNNNNNNNNNNNNNNNNNNNNNNNNNNNNNNNNNNNNNNNNNNNNNNNNNNNNNNNNNNNNNNNNNNNNNNNNNNNNNNNNNNNNNNNNNNNNNNNNNNNNNNNNNNNNNNNNNNNNNNNNNNNNNNNNNNNNNNNNNNNNNNNNNNNNNNNNNNNNNNNNNNNNNNNNNNNNNNNNNNNNNNNNNNNNNNNNNNNNNNNNNNNNNNNNNNNNNNNNNNNNNNNNNNNNNNNNNNNNNNNNNNNNNNNNNNNNNNNNNNNNNNNNNNNNNNNNNNNNNNNNNNNNNNNNNNNNNNNNNNNNNNNNCAUUUUUUGUACCUCUCCCGCGCAGUCGACAUUCUGCUGUACGGCCAAGGCGGAUGUACGGUACAGCAGUCAUCAAAUAAACUAUUCUAAAUGGAGUCCAGCUACGUUGCCCUAGUGGUGUCAUACCACUUCUUUUGUCUUUUUGAGAAAUAUCUAUACAAACCCUCCAUUUAUUUUUAUUUAACAUUUGUUUCAUAAGUAUUAAACUAAUUUCCACCUACAUCUAUAGGUACAUUUUUGUUAGCACCUUAUACUGUAUCAUAUUUAUUAAUUUUUUAUCUAAUAUUCACUUAUAUCACAAUGCCUGUCUUUAACUUUUUUUUUUUAUGGACCUCUUUACUAUUUUGAAAUUGAAUAAUUAGCAUGUUUAAUUUAAAAACUUACACUCCUUUUUAAUUAUAUUUUUUUAAAAUAUUAGGUUUUUUUUACAUUCACUAUCAAAUUUCAUUUAACACUUGAUACUCUUUUUAUUUUAAGUUUUUUUAUAAAUAUUACGAUACUGUUUUCUAAGAUUCACAAUAAAUUAUGCAAUUCAAAUAGUUCCAUUACAAAAAUAUUAUAAUUUUUCAUACUUUUAUUUUUAUCAUUGUUAUUUAACCCUUUGAUUCGCUGUUGUAAAUAAUAAUUCAUCGUCUCCAAAUAGGCAUUGAAUUAAUUUUAUGUAGCAUGGACUGACAUUAUAUUAUUAAAAAAUUUUAUUCCUAUACAUGAAAGAUAAUUUUUUUUUUACUAAAUUAUAGUUUAAAACAGCCUAAUGUAAUAGAAAAUAACGCAAUAUAACUUAAUACAACAAAUAAUGACGUACCGAAUGCACCCAUAAAAUAAGAAUACUUAAAAUAAAUAACAUGAUAAAAAUAAGAGUAAUAAAAAUUAUAAUACUUUUUGAACUAUUGGGAUUACAUAAUUCGUUAUACAUGUAAGUAAAAAGUACUAUAGAUAAUAUUUAUUAAAAAAUUUAUAAUAAAAAGAGUGUAAAGUGUUACAUGAAAUUUGAUAGUAUAUUUAAAAAAUAUCCUAAUAAUUUUUUUUUUAAAAAAAGAGUGUAAGGUUCUAAAUUAAACAUGACUAUUAUUCAAUUUCAGAAUAAUAAAGAGGGGUAUUAUGAUACAGGUGUAAAAUAGAAUAAAAAUAAUAUUAAAUAUGUAAGGUGUUAAUUGAAAUGUGACUAUGGAUGUAGGUGAAAACUGGGUUAAUAGUUAUUAAAUAUCAUAUAUAGAGAAAAGGAAAAACAAAGUGACAAAGAGAUUGAGAAUGAAAGCAGAAGGGGAAAGAGGUUUUUUUUUGUUUACUUGGUGAUGGUGGGUAACACACUUCUUAAAAGUGGAGUCCAUAAAGGAGGCCAGGAGGGGGUUGGUUUUAAAACAUAUGGAGAAACUUAUGAAUGUGGGCCAAAACAUAUUCUUCAAUUGUUUGUUACAGAAAAUGUAAUAUAGGCGCUGCCUGAGAAACUUAGUGGGCCGUGUUUACUCCAGAGUAAGUGCCAUGCCAUUGUCAGAUAUUAUUUAUUUAUUUAUUUGAGGUUUAUAAAUUCUUCAUGAGAUGCGCUCAGCAUCACAUGAUCAAUUCAGGAUCACGACAAUCAAUUUAUUUAAAAGUGGAGAGAUUCGGCGAACAAGGCAUCAAAAUUUUUUAAAAUCUUUUUUAUUUGUGUUGUUUCUCUCGAGGAUGUGGAAGUGGACAAAAUAAAUGACAAAGCGUACAGUGACAAAGCAAAUCGAUUUUUCUGUGCCUCUACGGCCGCGUCUGUGUUGUAACGGUGACACUAUAGCACGUGUUUUGUUUAUUGGAUUUAAAAGUAAGUGAUCCAACGAGCAAUAGAUGGCCAUGUUUCUAUUAAAAUUAAGGACAGAAAAAACUAUAUAGUGGUUAGAAUCUAUUUAAAAGUUUAAGACAUAUUUGUGUAAGAUAAAUGCAAUCUAGACGGCGAUGAAAUACAAAAUUAUUCAUCAAUGAUUACCAUUAGUGUAAAAAUUAUAAUUUUAACGUUUGGAAGAAUUGGUAGCUGUUUCAUCGUGCCGUGAGUCUAAGCUCACAUGCACCUCUUUACACUAAAUUUAAUACUUAGCAAUUUAGUGGUUUAAUCACCUUGAAUUAAAAAAAAAAUUCAAUGAAGGAUCCCGAUUUGACUUCAUUGUAGUCAUUCAUUAUGUUGAAUCAACUAUUUUAUAAUGCAUGACAAUACUUGCAAUUUUAGACCCUCGGAUUGUAUUUGUAUUAUCAAAGGCCAUUUAAAGGUUGUGGUUGCAAGUUCACCAAGAAUAUCAUGUAAAUGCCCACAUUUGAUCAACCUAGAAUUUGCCUAUAUAGAGGCAAGAGAUUUGAUGAUUCGAUGUGUAGAAUUUUAGAGGUGAGUUUCCUAGAAAAUUUUAGAGUAAAUCUAGAGUGAAUUUUAUGGAGAAGUGUAGUUAAUAAGAAGAGAUUUCUUUUUUUUUUUUUCUCUUCUUCUUUAUUUUAAAUUUUCUUAUAUUAUAUUUUUACAAAUUUAUUAAAUAAAAUGAAUGUUUUAUUUACUAAUAUGAGUGGCUAAUUUUCUAAGCCAAGGUGAUGAGUGAAGUCAAAGUGGCUAAUUUUCUAAGCCAAAAUGACUAAUUUUCUUGUAUUAUACUUUUACAAAUUGUUUGUUUCACUAUUAACAUGGGAAUCGAGGUGGCCAAAGAUGCAGGAUGGACCCUUUGACUGUCGAAUCGGAUUAAAAAAGAGGUGGUUGAUUUGGUGCUGCGUAAGAGGAGACAGUAUGAUUGUAAUCCGGCACAGUAAUCCAGCACAUUCCAAGGGAAUGUAAUGCAAGUGCACAUGCUAUAGCCAAUAUAGCAUUAGCAUGCAGUGAUGAUUGUGUCUGGAGGGAACCUUUUCCCCCAUAAAUCAUAAAUGUAAUCACCCAAUUGGUUUAAUAAAAGCAUUUCUUCUUUUAAAAAAAUAAUUUAUUACAAAAAAUAAAAUGAAUUCCUUCAUUAAUUUCAUAAAAAAUUUAUUAUAUUACAAUUAUAUUUAAGAAUAAAUAUAAAUAGAAUUAAAUUAUUUACAUUUUCUUUCUCUUUUGAAUUUUAUUUUACUUGCACAAUAUAAAUUUUUUUGUUAUCACUAAAAUAAUUUGAAUUUAAGAAGUAAUCCUCUAAGCCAAAACAAAAUUUUUAUAAUAAAUAUAACAACUUAAUUAAGAUACAACAUAGGAAAAAAUAAAUUAAAUAAAAUUUUAUCCCUUUACAACUAAUUUUUUAAGAAUUCUCAAACUAAUUGCUAAACUCAAUGAACCCAAAAUUUAUAGGUAGGAUAAAAUUAUAUUAAACCCAUAAAAUAUUCAUUAUUUUCUAAGUAUAAAGUUUUUCUCAUUUUUUUUAGAUUUUUUUCUUUAGAAAUUAAAUAGUAAAAAAAAUGAGAAAAACUUUAUACUUAGAAAAAAAUUUAAAGAGAAGAAUAUAAAUAUUAAGACUAAAAGAGUGAGAAAACUAUUAAAAAUUAAAAAAAAUCAUAAAUAAAAAAAUAUUUAUUUAAAAAAUAAUAUUUUUAAUAUUAUAUAAAAUAUAAUUAAAAAAAGAGUUUCAAUACGAUUUUAAUUGACUCGAAUGUGACAGAGGCGCUGCCCGAGAAGAAAAUUGGUAGGCAGUGUUUUCUCUUAUGUAAUUGUCAUAUCAUUACCAGAUAUUAUUUAUUUAUUUUAUUUAAAGUUGGAAGUGGACGAAAUUUCUUAAAAUCAUUUUUAUUUGUCUUGUUUCUCUCGAGGAUUUGGAAGUGGACGAAAUGAAUGAAAAAGGGUACAGUGACUAAACAAAUAGAUUUUUUUUUGCGCCUCUACAGCCAUGUCUAUGUUGUAACUGUAACACUAUAGUGUGCGUUUUGUCUUUAUCUCAUGUAAUUAUUUGAUUUAAGAGCAGGUGAUCCAACGGGUAACAGAUGGCCACGUUUCUUUUAAAAAUAUAUUGGUGAAGUCAGUUAAGAAGAGGUAAAAAUAAGGAUAGAUAAAAUUAUAUAAUGGUUAGAAACUAUUUAAAGGUACCUCUAUGUUUACAGCAUCAAUAGUGUAAGUAAUAUUAAUUAUUCGAUUUAAUUAACAGUAUACAUUAUAUUUAUUAAUAAAAUUUAUUAAUUAUUUUUAAAAUAACAUAACCGGUUAACAAAGGGACGAACUAUUGGAUUGUGGAGUUGGUAGAAAUAUGAGAAAUUUCAAUGACCAUCCCUACAGUUUUAAAUAUUCUCACAUUUUUCACUUGAAUAACAUAUUUCAUUUAAUAACACAAAAUUCAAUAGAAUAUAUGAUUUCAAUGAAAUAUAUGAACAUGCAUACGAAACUAACAUUCAUAGGAAUGUUUCAUUAGACUUUUAAAGUUUAUCUUACCUAUGUAUCUUAAACCAUUCAUUAUCAACUUUUCGUAAUUUUAUUAAAUAGGAAUUUCAAGCAAAACAAGAAAGAGUGACAAUAUGUAAUUAAUUUGAAGAUUUAAUGUAAAACUCACAAUUGUUAAAAUAGUGCUUAAAUUAUAUCAUUAAUGUUAUAAGAUAAUUUGAUUAUCAUGUAACCAAACUAAUUUCAAAAUUUAUUUUGAAAGCAUGCAAAACUAAUUUCAAAAUCUAUUUUGAGAGCAUGCAAACGGAUGUAGUCUCUACUAUGUGAUUUUUUUAUUCUAAUUUAUGGCCAUAGAAGAGAAUUGGAAGAUCCAUAUUUGCCCAAUAGUGAAAUAUAAAUAAUAGCCCUUUAAUUUCUCAUGUGGUAUAUUUCAUAGGCUUAUUAGCUUACAAAACUAUAUGCAAGUGUUAAAAAUUGGACUACUGCAUGAAAUGUCAUGUGAUAUAUUUCAUUUGACCUUAGAUUAAUUAAAUGCCUAUAUAUGGUUUACUUCAUUAAUCUAAAAUUAAUUUUCAAUGAUAUUUAUAUGUGACAUAUCAAUUCAUAAUAUAUCAGGGUAAUUACGAUUUUAAUUUCCUUUCUAUUAGUAAAUAGGGGUAGAUAGAAGUACUCAAUAUGUGUGUGUGUGUGUGUGUGUGUGUGCGCAUAUUAAUUCAUAUGUCUUAAUGACUAAAAGAAAAAUCACCUCUACUAACUUAAACAGGUCUUAUAUGUCUUUCUAUAGUAGUGUUUGUAAAAUAUAUUUUAUUUGCUAUGCUUUGGAGGACGUGUAGUCUAUUAUUUUAUAAUUUGUUUUAUAAUUUACAAAAAAAACGUGUUUAACAUAUUUUAACUUUUAUUAUUGUCAAAUAGAUUAUGUUUAAUACAUUUUAUAAUUUGAUUUAAGAUUUAGGCUCGCCAAACAUACAUUACACUUGUACUAUUAAAAUAAAAAUGAAAAUAAGGGCUACAAAAUGAUACUGAACAUGCCCUAAGUUACUUGAAGUGUCAGUUUAGAAAUAAGUAUUAUCGUAGGCUUAAAUUUAUGGAACAACUUUUCAGGACUGUUGGUCUUCCUCUAUUAGCUUAUUUAAGGUCUAUAUUUCCAUUGUUUUUGAAUGGAUGCAAGAUGAUGAUGAUGAAGAAAUUGUGCUACUCGUAAUGAUGCACCUUCGUAUUUAAUAAGAAUCAUAUGCAUAUUCAACAGUGAAAAUAUGAUAAUUCUGUCGUAAUUUGAUCAUAUUACAAUACAAUUGACUACUAAAAAAUGUCUUUAUAUUUUUUAUUACAUUUUACAUUAAAGUUGUGGCACAUUAUAAAUGCAAAGCUUAAUGUUUAAUAGCAUAACACUUCAAUAAAAUCAACGUCUUAAGUAUGAUGUAUGAUAUAGAACAUUGAAAUAGUUAUAUCUAACACUCACAACAAUUUAUAAUAAUUUAUAGUGUUUUAUUUACAAUAUCUUUUCUAAUUAUAUCUGUAUUAAUAUCUAUCUUAAAGUCAAUUUUUGGAUUAGUAGAUUUUAAUAAAUCCAUCGGGAUAGAUUAAUAAUAACUUAAUAUUAAAAAAAUUCAUUAUACAAGUUAUUUUAUUAAUUAUACUUAUUUUAAUAUUUUAUUUGUAUCAUAUGAUAUUUAUUAUUAUUUUUAUCCUACUACUAUAUGUAUAUUUAUUUAGGUUGUUUAAAUCAAAACGUAUAAUAGUCAUUUAUGAAAAUUAAGGGGUCUUUAUUACCAUUUACGAAACUAAGUGGAUCUAUAUGACUAUUUGAGCAAACUUUGAGGUGUGUGUGGCUUUUUCUCAAAUUAAUAUUAAUUUAAAAUUAAAAAACAAAUAAUUACCAGCAACUUGUAAAUUACAUGCUACAUUUUCAUUAAUUAUUUAAUUAUCCAUUAUAUUAGAUGGACGAUUGAGAUUAAAAUACUUAAAACUAAUGGUUCACAUUAAUCCCACUAUCAACGCUGUAAAAAUACAUACAUAAUCAUAAAGAAAUCCACUAUUUAAAGGUUUUAAACAAAUUUGUGUAAGAUAAAAGCAAUCUAGACAGUGAUGAAAUAAAAAAUUGUUCAUCAAUGAUUAAUAUUAGAAAGUAUAUAUUAAUUAAAUAAAAGUAAAAAUUAUAAUUUUAACUUUUGGAAGAAUAGGUAGUCGUUUUAUUUAAUAUUAAUUCUGAAAGGCUAGGUAUCAUGCCUUGUGUCUAAGCUUACAUGCACCUCUUUACACUAGAUCUAAUACUUAUCAAUUUAGUGGUUCAACCACUUUGAAUUAAAAAACAAAAAAUCCAAUGGAGGAUCCUUCGUGUUAAAUUUUACAAGCUCUGGAGAAAAUUAUGAAUGUCAGCCGAAACAUAUUCUUGAAUUGUUUGUUACAGAAAAUGUAAUAUAGGCGCUGCCUGAGAAACUUAGUGGGCCGGUGUUUACUCCAAGAGUAAGUGUCAUGCCAUUGCCAUAUAUUAUUUAUUUAUUUAUUUGAGGUUCAUAAAUUCUUUAUGAGAUGCGCUCGGCAUCACAUGAUCAAUUCAGGAUCACGACAAUCACUUUAUUCAAAAGUGGAGAGAUUCGGCGAACAAAGCAUCAAAUUUUCUUAAAAUCUUUUUUAUUUGUGUUGUUUCUCUCGAGGAUGUGGAAGUGGACAAAAAAAAUGAAAAAGCGUACAGAGACAAAGCAAAUCAAUUUUUCUGUUAAUAAGAAGAGAUUUUUACGAAGAAGUGUAGUUAAUAAGAACAGAUUUUUUUUGUGAAGAAGUGUAGUUAAUAAGAAGAGAUUUUUUUCUCUUCUUUAUUUUAAAUUUUCUUGUAUUAUACUUUUACAAAUUUAUUAAAUAAAAUGAGUGUUUUGUUUACUAAUAUGAGUGACUAAUUUUUUAAGCUAAGGUGAUGGGUAAGUUCAAGGAUUCAAAUUGUGGAUUUAAUUACUUUCUCAUGUCAAUUUUAAGUUUAUUGUUUGUAAUUUAUAUUUUCUACCGAUUAUUUUCAUUCCAUAUUUUAUAUUUAUUUACAGAUCUAAAUUUCCUUGGAUGUAUAUAAAUGUUUAGACAAAACAUUGACACGAGAAUAUGGUAGUGGAAACAUUCCAAUAUGGCCGUGGCAAUUAUGUACUUCAUCCCCUUGUUUAUUCAUGGAGUGGUUAAUUUAUGUGGGAGUUUAGACCUAAUGUUGACUACUAAUAUGGUUGUGGGAACACUCCAAUAAAGUUGUGGCAUAAUAUAUACUUAAUUCUCAUUUUUAUUCAUUGAGUGGUUAAUUAAGAACUAAGUCACAUAAUAUUGAAACAAGUAUAUAUAUAUAAAUGUUAUGGCCAUGAUUUAAAUAUCAAGCAUGGAUAUCAUAACCUUAGCGGUUUUUAAAUUUAUACUAUUCCUUAUCAACUUUUUUUUUGCAAUUAUUUUAUGUAAUUAUUGACUGCCAGAUUUAUACUUUUAGAGUAAUUAACCACUUUAAUUUGAGUCGUACGAAUCACUAUCAAUUUAUAAUUAUGGAAGAAUAAAACCGAAAUUCGAAGAAUUAGAACUAUUGGAAAACGAAGCGUUAAAUAGUGAUUAAGGUAUGAAAAAAUGAAACUUCUACAAGCAAAGUAACACUGUCGAUGAAUAAUGUAAUUAAGUAGAUAUGUUUGAAAUAGGAAAGCUUAUACAAGUUUACCAAUAAUGUAAUUAACUCUGAUAAAACUAUUGUUUGCGAUAAUUGAAUAAAUCAUAUUUGUUUGUAAAGGAUUAUUAGAUUUCAGUGUUAUUUGCAUUUAUAUAAACUAUUUGCAUUAAAGUUUGGUGUGUGCGUAUAAUGUGUUAUUAAUAGAUUCUUGAUAAGCACAGAAUUAGUUUCGAACUUUGAUAAGCACAAGAUAAUUUUGCUUCAUUUAACGUAAUGGUGUAUAUAGCCCAAUGUUGUUCCCGUCUGCUUAACUUCCCAACAAAAACAUGUGUAUGCAUUUAUGUGGCCAAUGAUUUUCUUGACAUUUGAAGAAAUAUUAACCUCACAAAAGUUGUCUAUAUUGAGUGAGAAAAAUUUAUUCUAAGGUCGAUCACAAGCAUGUUGGGUCAAGUGUCUCUGAACAGUUUGUUUCGUUUGAGAUGAGUGGCUAUCUAAAAAUGAUUAAUGUAAUAAAAUUUCUAGUAAUUCAUAGUUAGUGUAUAUAAUAGAUACACUGGUUGAAACAUAGUCGCCACACUUUUGCAUAACAAAAGUGCAAUACAUUACUUAUUUAACAGUCAUAGAGGAAAGAAUCACAAUAAAGCACCAUCCAAAGAGAAACUAAUACAUGUAUAAUUAAACAUUACAAUGAUAUCUUAUUGGUUUCUGGGCAAAUUGUUGAUGUCCCAGUCCUUUAUCUGAUCCAAGUGGUUAUCACAGGCCUGCACACAGACGAAUUGUCAAUAUUACGUUUAGCAGUAAUAUUUAGUAGAUAGCAGAAGCAGCUUACUGAUAGUAUCAUCGCUGGUAGUUGAUGUCAUCCUGAAGAAGUCAUCCUCUUCAGAACAGUUGCCAAAGUUAGUUAAUUGUGUCCACUAUAAUCAGGAAUAAGUUAGUAUAAGUUUUGUGAAAUACCGAAUUGAACUUGAUAAGCCUAAUGCCAAAGUUAGUUAAUUGUUUCCAAGCACUGUCUUUGGCUAAUUUCAUCAUGCCUGGUGCAUAUGUUGACAUAUAAUUUUCUGCGGACAUCAUAGUCUUUAAUGUUUUAACUAAUGUAUUGUGUUGCCCUACAAGCAUAAGGACAUAGAAUUCCAGAGAUCUACCACAUUCCACAAUUGCAUGUCGUCAUUUGUUACAUGUUUAACUCAUAGCAUGAUGAAAUGCUAUUAGUGACUUUGACAAGAUAUUAAAAUUAAGAAAUUAACAAGUUAACAGUAUUGUCCGGUAUCACAUAAUUCAUACCAAAUAUUCAGAAUUGCAACAAAAAAUGAGCUCAAACAUACGACAAGAUAAAAUUGCAUAGAUUGCUUAGCCAUACUGUUAUCAAACAUAUUAAAACUAAAGAGAAAAAAAUGAAAAAUCACUGAUGGUAUUAAAUGAGAUUGUCCUUAUGCAGAAUAUUCAAAAUAAAAGUUCUUUUGAGAUCAAGAUUCUGUGCGAAAAAGAGUAACAAAACGAAGCUAUUAACACCGAAUAACAUCAUUGCAGAGCAAAUAUAAAAAAUUAUUUCUUAUUCAUGCUAAGUGAUUAAAGAUUAAGAUCAAAACAAGUAAACAUAUUAUAUUCUACUCUUGAAUUGGCUAAAGUCUACUACCUUACAUGCCUCAAGAAUUUAAUACUCGGGUUAACUACCAAAACAAAGGGGAUAGUGCAAACCUGCAACUUUGGCACUAUAGUAGCUCCUCCAAUGAACUCCACGGCAUAUAUCUCGUCCAUUUUCAACCCCGAAUGCUUAAUUUCAUAGAGCUCUUCGAACUUUUGACAGGUAAUGUUGCUCCUAAAAGACAAAACAAACCCCAGAUAUGCAUGUGAAUGCAUUUGGGUUUACUAUCCGUGUGCAACAAAACAAAAUUUUCACCAAAACUGAUAAAUAAAUUUUAUAUAUACCAGCAACGUGAAUCAACAUAAAAGGAGAAUAAGCCAAUAUAAUUGAUUAGAGUAUAUAUAUAUAGAAUAGUUUACCAAAUGAAAGUACCACUAGUAAAUUUGAAAAAAGAAAAAAAGGAAAAAGAAAUCUCAUGCAAGAAUUGGAAUCCAAAAUGUAAUGGCCCAGUCAGUCUGGAGUCAUUUUAUUAACUUUAUUUUUCAUCAGAAGAUGUCUUAUAUUAUAUUAAAGAACAAAGCACUUGUAAGAGAAUAUGCAUCCCUCACACAAUAAACUCUACUUGCCAUGUUCUACAGUUCCUCACUCAUUUAAAGAACACAUUAAUUUUGAUAAUAAACUUAAAACACACCUCAAACAGUAAAAUCUGAACUUGAACUCCACCUAUCUGAAGUCCCUAUCAUCGUGGAGAGAUUUAACUGAUAUUGGUUCCAUUGUGUUCACACAAAGAAUUGCUUUUGUAUAUUUAACUUGCUUCUUCAGUUCAGCCAUGGCCUUGGGAGACUUCCUCACUUCACCCAAUUACCAACUUGUUUAUUAAACUCAUCUGUAAAGUAUUCAACCAACCGUAAUUCCAUGUUCUGACUGCUAAGCUCUGCGUCCCAUCUAAUAUCCUUAACCUGCAAAUUUGUCAAAUAUCAACUAGUAUCUAAAAGUAAUUAGAUAUGCAGGAACAUAACAAGCGGCACAUAAAGGUUGAACAGAGCACGGAUGAAGUGAGAAAAAAAUAAUGCUAUGGGAAUAAAGACCACUCAACUCUUACUGCAUCCUUAUAUUUCCAAAUUAUUUAGUCAGGGAGUACAAAUACUUACAAAUAGCUUAUGAAUCCCUAAAGCUAUCAGAUUCUAUUGUUCUAACUAUGUUACCAUCGGCUUCUAAAGCUUGAUUGCAGCUCUUUAAAUCGCUAGCUUUCUGUUUGUGAGCCCCCGCCUCAUUGCUAUAAUGAAAUUACCGAACCAUUGUUACCAAUCUCACUUUCUCUGAUUCUCAUAAACAAACACAGUGUUCUUGCAAGCUAAUUACGAGUUUUAAAUCUUUUCAAAAUAAAAAAAAUUGCGAGUUUUAAUAAGGAAUUACCUACUGCAUCGGGUGAUUCGAUCGGCACAAGACCAAAUCAAAGUGACGCGAGAUCCACGCUAAUUUGAUAUAUGCCUACACUUUUAGCACCGUAACUUUCGAUUGCAUCUGCUGUGACGAUUAUAAUUUCACCGUCAAUUCCCUACAAGUGAGAUGCCAUAUUCAUGUAUGAAUCAUCGGGAAAUUUUAAUUCCCAAAAAAAAUGCGAUCCUCUAAUUCUAAUUUUAUGUCUUAAUUGCUGUCUCCAGAUCAAUUUUAAGAUGAAAUCAGUGAGAAAACCUGUGGCGAAACUGUGGUACCGUGUUAUAGUUACAUUCAGUCGAUGAACGUCAGUAAAUCCUAUUAAUUUAAGUGCAUCCAACGGCUGGAUGCAACUGUAGCACGAUACUACAGUUGCACCAUAACCUGAUCAAAAUCAGUGAAACUCUAAUCAGCACUAGAAAUUUUUGAAACCAACGCUCGCUGAACUGCUAUUAAAUUAAUAUACAACCGGCUGCAACGGUUGCUAGUCGCUACAUCAAUUAUCUAAUAAUUAAUUUCAACCGCUAGAUUGAACGAGAAGCACCCAACAACUUUGCUUAAUUUGCAUCAAUUAUCCAAUAAUACGGAAAAAAAGAGGCAACAUAAUUGGACCCUACAUAUGUGGCGCAAAAUAUUUAUUUUUCAAGAGUUCAAGUAAGUGUAUGUUCAGUCAAAUAUAUUUAUUUAAUCUUAUAACUUUUUUUUAAAAAACUUAAUAUUAUUUAAUUAUAAUUUGAGUAAAUUUUUUUUAAAAUUAAAUAAGUUAUUUUAUCUAUACUAAUAAAAGUUUAAAUUUUAAAUUUUGUGGAGUAGAGGUUAAAAUUUUUUUUAAAUAUUAUAUUGUCUAAAAUAUGCUUUAUAUAUUUCAUAACAUAACUUUAAGAAAUUUUUCUAUUAAAGUAAUUCUUUAAAUUUUAAUAAAAAAUCUCAUUGACAACCAAACAAUUAUUUUUUUGGUAAAAGUUCUACUUACAAAGUUAUACCAAACAGAAUCAAAGAAAGUUAAGGAUUGAUGCUCUAAAUAAUGGUGAGGAUAUUGGUAAAAUAUGUAAUAAAAGUAAUUUUUUUUUUCUAAAAUGCUCAGGUUCUGAUUGAGAUUGGACAAUUAUAGCUUUUUAUAUUUGGUAAACAUUACUUGCUAUGACUUGAAAGCUAAAUUAAUUUGAUCCACCACUUUUAUUUUGAAAAACUUAUAAUUCUUUACUAUUGUUUUCAAAUUAUUAUUUACAAGUCAUAUUACUAUAUAUUAUUAAUUUUUAUUUCGUAAUUACAAUAUUUUUUCGCAACAACUACAUUAUCUAAAUACCAAAUAGGGCCUUAGUGACAAUAGAUUGGAUGUACUUCGGCAUAAAUUUCGGCACUUGUCUCAAUAAAUUUAUGAAAUAUAUUGUAAACAUACGUAGAUAGACAUAAGAUAAUAAUAGUUCUAGUAUCAUUAUAAAAAAUGAGUAUACAAAAUGGGCAGCGAUGCAGUACUUGCAUUCUAAAAUUUAUUUUGAACACUCAAUUAAUAAUUUUAAAAUAUUAAUUUUUAUUUGGAAUAUUUUUCGACUUCCUUUAUUGUUCUCAUUACCCAUUUCUUUAAUUACCUUAUUUCCUCUUUACAUCCAAUAAAAUAUUCAUAAUCACAAACAAAAUGUUUGAACCUUUUUUCAUUUUUUAUCAACUUUUAUUUUGCUUUUAUAAUAUGGUUUGACAUAUGUUUGUUCUUCUCUUUAAUGUCGCAAUUCAAUUUUGUUUUUCAAAUCCAUGAAAGCAUGCAGAUUAGAUUGAGUGAAGAUCAGAAAACAAAUUUAAAACAAAUUUUAUCCUUUGAUUUCUUUCGUUUUUCAUAUGUUGUAGUGGUGCAAUUUAUUGUUCUUCCUCCACCUAUGUUUUUAAUUCCUUUUGUUACAAAAGAUGGAACGUGUUACAUGAUGUUUUCCUAGCAAUUCUAUUAACAAAAAAACUGAAAAAAAAAAGGUUUAGUCCAUAAGUAUAGACAACGUUUUCACGUGAACUUUUAUUCAUUUCUUCAUUGUUUAUCUAGUUUAUUGUAGAUAAAAUAAGAUGUUGGAUAAAAAUUUAUUGAACUAUAUUUUAUUAAAUUGUCCUUAAUAGUAAAUUACAUUAAGGUUAAUUUAGUGAUAUAAAGAACUAUUAAAAUGUGAGUGUCUGUUAUAGUCUUACAGACACAAAUUAUUGCAACAGGAAAUCAAACGAAAUAAAAAGAACAAGUGAUAAAUGGGUAAAUUCAAGGAAACUAAGCUUUAAUAAAUAUGUUUUUGGUAGUUUGAGGGACAUAUCUCCCAAUACAACUAUUCAGUCUCCAAACAAAAUAUUUUAGCCUGCUAUUAUUGACAUUGAUGCUGGUUUAAAUACUAUCUUACAGAAGUUGGACCUAAAGAUUAAAAGCACAAUAAAACCUAUGUUCAUUAGAAUUAUGUUAAUACAACAACUACUUUUAUUUAAUCAAAAUGAACUAUGAUAACAACUCAAAGAGAUAAACAUAACCUAAGAAUAAAAUUAUGUAAUUUUUUUUAAAGAUCACAUCAAUGUCCAAAAUAAAUUUUAGAGAGCCAAUAGCCCUACCCUAUCUUCAAUUUCUUCUUCUUUACAUUUUUGUCUCAUUGCCUUUCACGAAAGAAUUCUAAAGAAAGUGUUGUUUGGCAAGAAAAUAAAAGAAAAAUAAAGAGAAUUUGUAUAGAAGCAAAUAUAAGAUUCCUUUGUAAUUAACUAACUGAAAACUGAGUACACAUUACAUAUUUAUAUAGCAAGCUAAAUGAUUCAUACAAUCUAUUAUACACACGCGAAAUUUGAUACAUGUGAGGUGAGCUGUAUAACUAACUUGCCAAGUUAGCUUAAUGAGUGAAUCAGUUGUGGUCAAUCAUAUAAUGAUUUUGUGCUAUGCUUUGCUUGUAAUUCAAUAUCACUAACAUCCCCCCUCAAGUUGAAAUGUCCAGGAUAGACAUUCAGCUUGCUUCGCAAACAAUGAAACUGCUUAAAAGUGAGAGCUUUGGUUAAUACAUCAAUUGGUUGACCUUCACUGGGCACAUAACUAACCUCAAUGCUCUUAGCUGCAACUUUGUCUCGAAUGAAGUGUAUAUCUAGCUCAACAUGUUUGGUUUUGGCAUAAUAAACUAGAUUGUAUGCUAAGGCAAUAGCUUCUUGAUUAUCACACCAUAUUAUGGGAGUGGUGCUACGUUUAAUUUGCAACUCACUAAGAAGAGAUUGUAUCCACAUGACCUCUGAAGUAGCAUGAGCUAAUGCUCUAUAUUCUGCUUCUAUACUUGACCUUGAUACCACUGCAUAGCUCCAUUUGUGUGAUAAUGCAGUCCAAGAUGUAAAGUUCUUUUUAAGUACCUUAGCAACCUUUUGCAAGCCUCCCAAUGUUGUGUUCGAGGACUAAAUAAAAACUAACUUAGUUUAUUAACUAAAUAUGUUAUGUCAAGCCUUGUAAGAGUAACAUAUUGCAAUGCACCUAAGAUACUUCUGCACUGAGACACAUUUGCAAUAAUGUCACCUGAGUCUUUUGUGAGGUAGUGACUGGUAGACAUAGGAAUAUGUAAUGGACUGCAGUGAACUAUAUCAUGUUUGCCAAUAUAUUAGCAAUAUAUUUUGCUUGAGAUAGAUAAAUGCCAUUUGCUAAUUUAACCACUUCAAUUCUUAGAGAAUAGUUAAGAGCUCCCAAGUCUUUUAAAGCAAAGGUGUGAUGCAUGUCUUGAAUGACUGGCUGAAUUAAGUAAGAAUUGGAACCAAUGAGUAUGAUAUCAUCAACAUAAACCAGAACUAGAAUUACAUGACCAUUGAUCCAUUUAUAGAAGAGAGACUUAUCUGAUUUUGAGUGUUGAAAAUGCCAUUGAGUAAUCAUUGCAUCUUUGAAUUUUUCAAACCAAGCCUGGGAGCUUGCUUCAAGCCAUAUAUAGUCCUUUUUAAUUUGCAGAUGUGUUGGGGUUUAGUAGGAUCCACAAACCCCUCAGGUUGUGCCAUGUAAACUUCUUCAACUGAAAUGCCAUUAAGGAAGGCAUUAUUAACAUCCACUUGUCUGAUUAUUCAUUUGUUAAGUACUAAUAGGGGAAGGCAUUAUUAACAUCCACUUGUUUGAUUAUUCACUUGUUAAGUACCGCUAGGCUAAGAAUAACUUUGACUGUUGAAGCCUUAACUACUGGACUAAAAGUUUCAGUGUAAUCAACUCUUUGUGUCUGAUGAAACCCCUUAGCAACUAUAUAUAAAUCCCGUUGAAUAAACACUCUAUAAAAUUGUAAAUGUCUCAUAUAUUUUUUCCCCGUUUCUUCUUCCCGUCUCUCACUCUCUCUGUAUGAUGAGUCUGAUGGUGGCUUCAAUUGUCGAUAAAUGUUGCUAAUGAAGAGAAAAUGAUAUUAGAGAGGGAUGGAUUCAAAGGGAAUUUAUUUUUAUUUUUUUAAUUCUUUUAUCAUGAAAGUAUUAAUUAUUAUAAUAUGAUACUAUAAAGAAGAGAGGAAAGCAUUUUUAGUAUUAAUUUAAGGAUAUUUUUAUCUUUUUAUUAAUAUUUGUGUGUUAUGAUGAUUAAUAUGUCGUGGUUGUAAAUAGAAACUCUUUUAAUACUUAGAAAAAAAUAGUAAAUGAAAAAGAUUGUGAGGAGAUAAAUUGAAUUUUGAUAGUGUAGGUAAGUAGAAAUUUUCAUAGUUCUUAUAAAUAAAAUAGAGUAUAAGGGGCUGAACAACAUUUUACAGUAACUGAGUCAGCAAAGACAAAAGCUUUUGUAACGUACAAGUGGCAACGGAGCCAAAUGAAUGACCAAAAACGCUUUUUUAUUUGAUAAAAUUGAUUAUUAUCUAGAAAUAAUAUGUUAACUAGUUGGGGACGAAGCUACGGUGCCCCGGGUGCACGGUACCCUUGUUUUUGGUAAAUUACUUUGCAGUCCCUCUUAUUUACUAAAAAGUGAAAAAAUUAAAAGUUUUGAAAUUUUAAUAUAUAAGUCCAAAAUAUUUCUAUUAUUUACACUUAAGAGUAUAUUUCUAUUAUUUAUAUUUGAAUACUAAACCAUAAUUGAUUAUUAUGAAAUUUUUAACAUUUUCAUUUGGUAAUAUUAUUAUUGAUAAAUUAAAAUUUAAUUACAUAUUUAAAUUAUUUAUUAUUGAUUAAAUAAAUUUUAUAUUGUUUCUAAAAAUUGUUUAAUAUUAUUGAUAAAUUAAUAUAUUUUAUUAUAUAUUUAAAUUAUUUAUUACAGAUUAAAUUAAUAUUAUAUUAUUUUCAAAAAAUAAAAAAGAUUUUAUGUAUUAAUUUUUUUUUCAAGUUAUUGGCCUUAUACUGUCAUUAAUUUUAAUAGUAAAUUAGAUCACUUGAUCAAAAUAUUAAAUUUAAAAAUUAUCCAAAAUUAUUUGUCAAACUUUUGAUUAUUUUGCUUUUUUGAAAAACAAUAGAGAUGUCAAAUGUUAAAAACCAAAUAGAAUACAUCCAUGCCGUUGAAGCAAGUGUUGUGUUAGAUCUAAUGGGCAACUCAUAUAUGGACAAAAUAUGGGGUACCAUGCACAAAGUGAACGGUAGUUGGACCCUUCUUUUAAAUCACACUACUUCAUAGACCAAAGAAUCAAUAGUAGGACUUUUGUCGAUCAAAAAAUCUACUUCUAAAAUAUGAUGAUUUUAAACUUUUAAUUAAAACUAUUUUAUUUGGUUAGAGUUUAUGAAAAGAAGGAAUCAAAAAUAGAGGAUAGAGUUCAUGGGUGCUAAACUGCUAAUUAAGAAUAAAGAAAGAACAUAAAUGAAAUUCAGUUAUCAUGCACAAAGAAGAUAAUAGUAUCAAAAUAAAAAAAAUAUUUAAUUAAAUAUACCUUACGAAUUACGCAACUUGUUCAUUAAUAAUAUUAUUAGAAACAUUUAAUUUAGGCAUAUGCAUGUUCGUUAUGGUCAUAUAUUAUUAUUGUUAACAAAUUAAUAUUUUUUUAUCAUGUAUUAUUUUUUAAUUGACAUAUUCAAAUAAUUAUUGUAUAUUAAAUAGAUAUUAUGUUAACAAAAUAUUUAUUAAGGCGUGUUAAUUUUUCGUGCAUUUUAAAAUUUUUACAUGAGAUUACAUUAUUGUCCAUACAUUAUACUCAUGCUAAUAGUCAAACUAGGUCAAUAGAUUUAAUUGUAAAAAAAUUUGAAACAAUCUGGACAUAUAUGUCAACAUUUAGAAACUUUUACCUUUUUUAAUUUUUCAAAAAACAUUAGGGAUGACAGUGUUAAUAACCAUGCAAACCCAUCUGCACGGCCAUGCAACUCUUUGGUUAGAUUUAAUCAUUAAAUCACUAAAUGACAAAAUAGGGGUACCAAACACCAGUUGCAAAGUAGCAGGACCCACUAGUUGGAUACACUUUUUAGAAUAUAUUUUAAUUUGCAUAUAAUAUAAAAGAUCUGAAUGUUGAAUAAGAAUGGACUAUAGCCUAUAGGUAGUAGCAGAGCCACUAGGAAAGUAAAAGAAAUAAUAAAAAUAUCUCUUUCCUUUUUCGUUAAACUUUAUUGGGAUAAUUAUUUGUACUAAAUUCUUGUGUUUUGAAGAUGGGUUGGUUCUUUAGCGAAAGAUGAUCAUUAUGGUCUGCUUAAUAAAUUAUCAUUGGGAGAAGUUAAUUCUAGUACUUAAUAAGAAGCAAUUAAAAUUCUUUGAUGUUCUAAUUUUUUCUUGAGUUAAAUUUAAGUGAUUGGUGUUUGAUAAAUUAAAAAAUAAAAUAAUUAAAUCAUAAUCAUAUUAUUACUAUUACUAUUACUAAAGAAGAGGUGGUAUAAGAUUUUUAAAAGUUCAAGAGAGUUUAGAUCACAAAGGAUCUUAAUUUGAUAAAAAAUUGUAUGAAAUAAAAGUGUAUUAAAUAAAAGAAUUUUGAUGCAGAAAGUAAAGAUAAUACCAGCACGCUAUAAGUAUAAUGACAUUUUGAGAUGAUUAGUUUGACAACCUUGGAAUUAUGAUGUUGAUGUUAUCAGAAUUUUGAUGCUGGAGAUAAAAUAUGAUGAUGCUAGCCAAGCUUUAAUGUUACUCAUGCUGGAGACAAACUUAUUAUAAUUUACACGAAAUUCAGAUGUCAGUUUUGUUAAUCUUUAAUUUUAUUUAAUAUAAUUUUGAAUGCUAUUUUAUGAAACAAAAAUAAAAAUUGUUACUUCUUAAAAACCAAAAGUAUUUUAACACAUUGUUUAUGAAAAAAUGAACAAUACUCCUUUUUAUUUGAUAAAAUUGAUUAUGUUUUCCAUAUUUUUUAAUCUCUAAAUAUACCCAGAAAUAAAACGUUAAACAAUUAGAAACACUUUUUUAGAAUAUAAUCCAAUUUGUACAUAAUAUAAAAGAUGUGAAAGUUGAAAUGAGAAUGGACUAUAAGUAGUAGCAGACCCACGAAGUGAUACACUGCCCCGACUUGAUCCAAAAGUUUCUGAUAACAUAUUUUAUUUAGUUGGUGGAAAUUAUAAAUUUGUCCUGUUGGAUUAAUUGAAUACAUAGAUUUGAGUUCAAAUUUUAUUUUAAAAUCACAUAUAAAUCUCAUUCAUUUGCAAUUUAUUAUUCCAGUUGUUUAAUUAGAUGUCCAAAAUCCAAUUGAAUCUAUUAAAAUAAGGUCGGUGAUCUAAUUUGAAAUUUAAUCUGAUUUAGUCCAAAUCUGCAACUUAACAUUAGAAAUAUGAAAAUUAAAUCUAUUAUUAAGAAGAAAAAUAAAAAUAUCUACAACCAUAAAAAUAUCCUCUUAAAACUGUAUUUUCUGAAGACAUGUAAGUUGAUAUACUAAUAAAAUUAUAAAAGUAAUGAAGUAAGAGCGUGAACUCUUUUCUUUGAUUAUUUAUAAAUUUUACUCUAUUAAUAUGAUUUUCUAGCUACAACAAUGAGUCUACAAUAUUGGAUUUCAAUAAACAUAAUAAGAUCCGUAAUUAAGGUCAGGAGAAUUCUGUGUGCUUUUAAAUCACAUGGAGAAAAGUGUAAAUUCUGUGUGCUUUAAAUCCGUAAUCGUUGUCUUAAUUUUUUUUUUUUUGAAACCCUGAUAUUCAUCAUAAUUCCUGCAAGAACAUUAGGACCUUAUGCCUAAUUAUAAUCAUUUUUUUUUGGAACACCAGGUUCUUGCAGGAAGCUAGGGGGCCUUCUAAGAGAAGCAAUCAUGUUCAGGUUUUCUUAUGAAAAAGCUUCGAGAAAAGUUGUUUAUAUGAAUUUUUGUGCUUUGUGCUUUCUUGUCUGUUAGAAAAGAUUUAAGGAAAAUUAUUCAUUACUGUAAAGCCAUGCAUAUAAAAAAUAAUCUCUGAUUAGAAGUAAAAUUAUCUCUGAUGAAGAAAUGUGAUUUCUGGGUGAAGUACAGUUGGGCCACAUAGAAGGAAUAAUGUAGUAGUACAAGCUGAGAUUUUAGAAUCGCUUCGAAUUUAGUGGGAGUUGGCCAGUAGAAUAUUUGCGUUUCUGUAGCUUGUAACUACUUUUUGCCUUCUUUUUCUGUAGGAUCUUGUUGCCUCUGCUGUUUAAAAUACACUUUAUGAUUUUAAUCCUGUUUCAAUACUGAAAAUUUGUUGUAAAUAUAGAAAUCCCAUUGAAAAAUUUAUUGGAGCAGCAAUUUCAGCACUGCAAAUUAAUUUUGACAGCAUCAAAUAUCAAGCAUGCGACCUCCAAUCUUUAUUUUGCUACUUUAUUUCAUUUCAAGUUUUAAUUUUAUUCAGGGGCCUAAGCAAAUUAUAAUAGAUUUUAAAACAUCCCAUGUUGCUUCUAUGUUACUUUAUGCCCCUAAAGUUUAGAUGGUGUUACCAUGUUAUCAUGUUUGUCACUCAAAUUUCCAUGAUCUAAGCUUGAGGAGAAGAAUAUUGAUGAUAAGGGAUAAGAAUGUGCGAAACGUCAGCUACUUCACACAAUGAUUUUGUGGUUUAGAAUCUAAUGGUGGGCAAGGCACAAUAAUGUGCACAUUGCAUUCUCUUAUGGAAUUCAGACAAGCUGGCAAAACAUUCAGCAUCAAUAUGAACAUUAUAACAUGAUCUCAUAGCCUCAUACAGCUGACAGAGAGAGAAUGAUGAGUGAUAAAGUUUGAAAUUUGCUAGUUUUGGUGGAUUGAACACGGAGUUUGUUUCAUGUGCAUUGAAAUUUAGAUAUUCAUGCAGGUUUGUUAGCUUAAUUUGGUUGGUUUUUGGUGUUUGGGAUAUUUGAUAGAAGCCUGACAGUAUCUGUAGGCGGUACACUGGGUUCUCUUAGUUGUUAUAGAAGUCUUCAAAAGACCAGAUUGAAUUUAAUCCGGUUCUGGCUAUUAUUCUCAUCUUCAUUUCUCUUACAGACUGAUGAAAGCAGGAGAUUUCAAGAAUUUAACAAGAGUUCUGGUUCAAAUGCUACUAUUUUGGAUGGUGAUUCGGUUCUUAAUCUAACGAAAUUGCCUUCCCUUCUUGGUUGGCUCCAAUCCUGUGUUAAGUAAGGAUUUACUGUCACACGAGAGGAACUCUCUUCCUUCUCUUAAUGGUAGAAGUGAUCUGUUAAAGAUGGAGCACGCCUUGAUUGCGGAGAACCUGCAGAGUUUUUUAGAGAAAUCGGGAGCUUCCUACAGUGUAAUGCCUUGUCAUAUCUAUCAUAUUCGGCAUGAUGAGGUUUCUUGUUCUGUUCAUUUCCUCCAUGUGAGUGAGUAUGUGCAAUGGAGCUAAAGCAAGCUAAGUCAAAGCCACUUGAAGCUGGGAGUCCUUUGGGGAUUCAGGUGCUCACGACAAAUGGCAUUCUAACUGCAGGGUGUGGUAAUUUCCUCCUGUGAUUCAUUUUGUAUUUAGUUCACAUUUCUUGCUUUAUAUGAUAUGGUUAUGGUGUCAUCUGGAGUAUGUUGUCAGUAGAUGCUCACGAAGUAUUUAGUUUUGAUGUUAAUAAUUUCCUUCAAAGAAAGCAGACACAGUGUAGUAUUUUAUUGUUAUUAUUUAAGCCUGAAUAAUAGUGCCUAACAUUAAGCACACGCAGAAAUUUUAUUCACACUUUUGCGCCUUAUUGCACUUUAUUAUUCAUCAGGUAGGAAACAGGGAGAGAAAGCAUUUUGAGUGGCUUGAUCCUCCCAUUGUAGCUCUUCCCACCAUUCUUUCUCCCCGUAAAUGACAAUUUUACGUCCCUUUGCGCUGCUGGAAUUGAGCGGGAGCUUCUUCAACUUUGGGCAUUCCGAUAUGUCAAUUACCUUCAGCUGUGGAAAGGGCAAGGGAACGCGGUAGAUGCGCUCCAAAUUACUUGCAUUUCUUAUUACCAGAAGUUCGAGUUCUGAGAACAAGUUAAGCUCUCCCAUCAUCUCCGAAACUUCACUCAAUUUUUCAACACUGAUUAUUUCUUCCAUGUCAUCACAAUAACAUAUUCGUAGCCACUUGAGAUUUGGAACAAAAACAAGCCACGUAAAGUCCUUCACAUUUGAGCAUUCGUAUAUUGUAACAAAGUGAAGUUUACGCAUUUUUUGUACCUCGCCUGCGCAGUCGACAUUCCAGUCUUCCAAAUUACUUUCCUCGAUGUGUAGCUUCUCAAGAUGCUCCAUGUUUGAUAGAUGCAACAAAUUGAGCGGUAGACUGUUGCAGUGUUCGAUGGACAGAGCUUGAGUGAUAUUCUGCAGCUUUGGGAAUUUCAAAAAGUUUUCAACACCACGCGUACCACGUAAGGACAAGGUGAUGAGAUUUAAUUGUUCCAAACAGUGGAUUUCCUUAAUCAAUGGUUCAGCACCAUCGGAUAGAACGUUGCCUUCUUCCACUAUUGGAAAUAUCUCAGAACCGCAACUCAGCAUCCUGAGCACCUGUAACUUUGGAAAGCUUGAUAUCAAUUGCUCUGGAAUUCUAGACAUUUUACGUGUAUACUCCAAGUUCAAAUAUCUCAGAUUCACCAAUGCCUUGAGCUCUUGCGGCAACCCACGUACUUCAGUAGAAGACAGAUCAAGAUGGUGUAAUGAAACCAAACUUGAAAUCCCUACAGGAAGUUCAGUUAGGGGAGUAUAAGACAGAUCAAGAUGGUGUAAUGAAACCAAACUUGAAAUUCCUACAGGUAGUUCAGUUAGGUAAUGAUUUCCACUUAGAUUCAAAACUCUAAGCGAAGGCAAAGAUUGAAAGAAACUGUCAGUGAUCUUCGCAAUAUGAUUUCGAUUUAGAAGCAAAGUCUGGAGACGCGGACAAGUGGGAAUUUGUGGUAGACUUUGAAUUUUGUUCUCCAUCAAGGAUAUCCUUUUGACCCCUUCCCAUUCUUCAAUCUUUGGGGCGUCAGUUAAUCCAACUCCUGCACGAAUCAAGAAGUUCUCCUCCUCCUCCUCUAUUUCAUUUGCUAUCCAUAAUGCCAUGUCACGAAUCAUAUCGUGCAUUUUUACACGAUUACCUCCUUCGUCCACUAAGCCUGCUUCCUCCAAUAAGCAUGCACGAAGGAGAGCACCAAGAACCCCCCACCCGCUGCUAGAAUCCACAAAUCCUUCACUUUUCCAAUACUCCAUCAAGUCGGUUUUUGGAAUUUCAGAGUCUUCCGGAAAUAAACAACAGUACAAGAGACAAGAACGAAGUUCGUCAUUGGGCAAACUAUCAUAGCUGAACUUCAAACGCGAAAGCACCUGUUUUUCCAUAUCUUUGAAUUUAGAAGCUGAUCUGCUUAUGAUCUCAAUGGCGUGACUCCAUUCUUGAGGGUACUCUUUGCUCGCCAUGGCAUUACCUACUGUUUUGAGUGCUAGCGGCAAACCAUGACACUGCCUUGCCAUAGCUUUGGCUAGCUCCGGAAUGUCGGGAUGCUUGUCGAGAACGUAUCUCCCAACCACCCCCUCAAAAAAUUUCCAGGCAUCGUCAUCUCCCAAACAGGACACUUCGAACCGCUCGUCAGCUCCCAUUUCACCACAAGUACCACGAAAACGAGUUGUGAAAACUAUUCUGGACCCAGAAUCUAAUCUUUGAAGAGGGACGCCCAAUUCGGUUAAAUCAAUUUUGGACUCCCAUAUAUCAUCCAAUAACAAUACAAACUUCUUAUGCUUUAAAGCGUUGGUGAUGUCUGAAGCCCUUUCUUCAAAACUUUUUCUCUGCCAUGAAUCUGUUGAGAAGCCUAUCCUUUUUCCAAUAUCCACUUGAAUCUGCUUCAAGUUUGGCUCUCUCGACACAACCGACCAGAUAACGACACCAAAAUGAUGCUGUUCAUCACUGCAGAAUUUGUUAUUGACUUGCUUUAACAGAGUAGUUUUGCCGACGCCCCCCAUACCAUAUAAGCCAAUAAUUCCCUUAUUCUGUUCUUGAUCGGUGAUGCAUCUCCAAACUCGGUCUAGUAUUGAUUCUUGACCGACAAUUGUUCGGUCAACAGCUAUUGCAACCGCUGCACCUUCUGGUACCUCCUCAUAAAGUGGAUUGAUUGCUUCUCCUCCUUUCUUCAAUUCGAUCACUUCGUUCUUCAUCUUCUCCACUCUUUUCCCGAAGCUGUAGCUUGAGAUCAAGUUCUUGGAACAGAAGCCUCCAAGGCACAAUCUGUCAAUCUCUUGAUCUCUUUCUUGUUGCAGCCUCUCAACUUCAGUUACCCUUCGAUCCACUCUUUCAAACCAGCGUUGCACCGAUCUCGUCCGUCUGGUUCGGGGUCGUUGUUCAGCAAGCUCAACCUCAUUCAGCAUAUCUUCUUUUUUCUCAAUCAACUUCUCCUUCUGAGUCUGCAAGUCAUCAAGAUUAUCUUUUAGACCCCAUAUAUACUUAGCUUCUCCACCAACGUAAGAUAAAAUUGGACGAAUUGUGUCCGCUGAUAAGAAGGUUGAGAUGACGCCACCCAUUUUUGUUGAAAGAUUUCAGAGGAAUAAAAGACGAGAAACUAACAGUAGAGUAUAACGAAAGACUUUUAUUACCUCCUCAAGUUAUAGGCAAAUACACAACAUUAAUUUUUGUUUAUAGGAUAAAACAAUUAAUUUAUUGGCUUGAGUUGAGCUACGGUACAAUGGGUCCACCAUACCCUACUUUUUGUCUUUUUUGACCCCCUAAUCUCUUCUGUAUUUACAAAUUAUUGAAGUAAUUUCUUUUUUCUCUUUCUUCAAAACCCUCACCUCUACGUCCUUUUGAAUUUUUUUAAUUAAAAAUGUAAUCAAUCAAUUACAAUCAAUAAGAGAAGCUUGGCAUUCUCAUUGAAGCUACUUUCUCAUUACCUUAAGAUUAAUUUGCUCUAUAUCAUAUAAGCAAUAAUGAAUUGAACUUUUUAUAUAAAAGAAAAUCACAUAAAUAUAUUUUUGUACCUACAAUCUAUUCAUCAUACAAUGGAAUUCAGGUAUAAAUAAAUUGAAAAUUUUUAUGUUUUAUUAUGUGUCUUCUUCUCCUCUUCUCCUCCAUGCUUCUCUACAUUUUCAACUUAAAAAAAUCUAACUGUAGCACUUUUAAUAAUUGAAUAAUUAUUAUUUUAUCAGUAAAACUCUUUUUAUUAUGUCAAUGAGUUUGUUUUCUUAGGUAAAAGAAUAUUUUAACAAAUUAUUAGAAAUGAGAGCUUUAACAAAAAUUCAAAUUUUUUUUAUUUUUUAUUAUUUUUUAUGUAUCUAUCAUAUCUGAUCUCUUGAUUAUAACUUGCAAAAGUGGAUACCAUAACACAAUUAAUUGUGCUAAGAGAAUUUGGGAAAAAAAUAUUGGCACAAAAUUUUAUAAACUUUAACUUUUUAAAAUUUUUAGCAAAUAUUAGGGAUUGAAUUGUUAAUAAACAAACAAACACAUCUUGCUCUGAAUACUACUUUUGUGUUGGAUCAGUGGCAGCACAAAAAAAAAACAAAAGGGUUGUACCCGUUGCCACAUAGCUAAAUCCUUAAUUAUUAUGAUUAUUUUGGGGGCCCAUAUUUUUUACCAAAAUGCCACCACAACAAAGUAUCUUUAUUAAUAUUGGUGGCGAGAGCAGAGCCGGUGAGGGGUUUUAAACAGUACGCGCAGGUAAGUGCAGACUCUGCGGUGUGGUAGGAUUUUUAUUAUAAAAGUUUUUAUGAAAAUAAUUUUAGUUAUUUAAUUGAUAAUAAGAGUUUUUAUUAAAAAUUAUAAAAUUAUUUUAAUAAAUAAAUUUUACAUCCGCCUUGGCCGUACAGCAGAAAAAUAAUGAAACAAUAAUAAAAAAAUAUAAAAAUAUAAAAUUAAAUAAAUAUUUAUAAUCAUCUAAUACAAAAAAAAACAAACAUUUUUUUUAAGAAACAAACAAACAUUUAAUAGUUCUUAAAAAUCAUAUAGAGAGGAAGAGCAAAACAAAGUGACAACGAGUUGGAGAAUGAACGCAGAAGGGAAAAGAGUUUUGGUUAGUUUGCUCGGUGGGCAAUAUCCUUCUUAAAAGUGGAGUCCAUAAAGAGUGCGGGUUUUAUUUAAAUUGUCUGGAGAAAAUUAUGAAUUCUGUGUGCUUUAAUUAAAUCACGUGGUAAGAAUUGUGACGGCCAAAACAUAUUUAUUUAUUUAUUUAUCUAUUUGAGGUUGAGAAAUUCUUUAUUAGUUGUGCUGAUAUGGGUUGGAAAUUAAAAUACACAUUUAUUCAUCACAUGAGCGGUCCGAGCGGAUACGUCACUAACCAAGAAUGAUUAGUUCACCAUCUCUAUUUUAUAUUAUAUUCAUUUAAUUAUUAUAAAAUUUUUAAUAUUUUUUUAAAUUUAUAUUAAUUAGCUGCUGUACGGCCAAGGCGGAUGUACGGUACAGCAGAAAGCCUGGGAGAUGUACACCUCUAUUUGAGAUUUAUUUUUUUAUUAAAUUUAAGGGCAUUUUUAUAAUUAUAAUUUUUUUAUUUUUCAAAACCUUUAUAAGAUAAAAUAGUUUUUUAAUUUAUCUAGGGGUAAAAUUACCAUUUCAUUUAAAUUAUUUAACGGUGUUAGUGCAAAAGUGACUAAUGGAUACAAAUUUAAAAAGAAAGGUGGUGAACAUAACGUAUUUGAAUGUUGUGGUAAGUUGAAUGAAUAUAAAAUAAAAUAGAGAUGGUACAAUGAUAAUUUUUCAAUUUUAAAUUGGGCAGGCCGGUAAACAAGGCAUCAAAUUCAUUAAAAUAUUUUUUGUUUGUUUUGUUACUCUCCAUGACUUGGAAGUGGACAAAACAAAUGAAAAACUAUACUGGGUGAAAACAAAUAAAUUUUUAUGUGCCUCUGUGAGGUGAAAUAAUUAUUUUUUAAAAGUUCAAGUAAGUGAAUAUUGGAUAAAAAAAUUAGAUAAUGUCAUAAUAUUUUUUUAAAAAAAUUAUAAUAUUAUUUAGGUAUAAUUUUUAAGAAAAUAAAUAAGUUAUUUUGUCUGUGUUAAUAAAAGUUUAAAUUUAAACUUUUUAGAAUAGAGAUUGGAAAGUAUCUUUAAAAUAUUAUUAAAUUGUCUAAAAUAUUCUUUACCUACUUCACAAUUUUAUUUCACUCACUUCACAAUAUAAUGUUAAGAAAUUUUUCUAUUACAGUAAUUUUUUAGUUUUUAAUAAAAAUUUUUAUUGAUAACUAAAUAACUAAUUUUUAUAGUAAAAAUUAUACUUGGGAAGUUGUGGCAAGCAGAGUCUAAGAAGGCCUAGGAUCGGUGCUAUCAAAUCUCAAUAAUGGCGAGGACACUGAUAAUACUAAUAUAGAAUAAAAGUAAAUUUUUGCUAGGCAAAUGCUACGUUACAUUUCAUGUAACAUACACACUCCACAACAACCACAUACAUAGGGGCUCCCUUUUUGCUAAUAUUAUUAAUCUUGUUUGGUAAUGAGAUUGUAUAGCUUUUUGUAUUUGGUAAAUACUAACUGCUGUGAUUUAAAAGAUAAAUUAAUUUAAUCCACCACUUUUAUUUUGAGAACCUAUAAUAUUUUUAUUAUUUUUUAAAAUAAUUAUUUAUAAGCCAUAUUUACUACAUAUUAUUAAUUUUUAUUUAAUAGUUACAGUUUUUUUUUAUAACAAUUAUGUUAUGUCAAAUACCAAAAAAGGCCUAAAUGAGAGUAGAUUGGAUAUAAUUAAAAGUAAAUUUUUGAAUUAGUCUAGGUAAAUUUAUAAAAUACAUUAUAAAUAUAUGUAUCUAAAGUCCCAAUAAACAGAAAAUAAUAAUACAUCUAUAUAGAUUGUAACAUUCCCAAAAAAAAAAGAAGGAAGAGUAUCCAGUAUCCACCACAUAUUUUUAGCUUGGGGAUACAUCAACUAGCUGCAAGACUAAGGUUAUGACUUUACACACUUAAAUGUUUAAGGUUUAUAACAAGCUGCUGCUGUUCACACAUCAAUAAAAUGAGCUCUUUAGCAUUAAAGUCUAAUUAAAAGCUUUUAAUACUUUAUAAUUUAUUUUAAGUAAUAUAAGUUUAAGUAAUAAUGCACAAACAGAUGAGCCUGUAUAUUGAAUUAAAAAAAAAAAGCACGAGAUAUUCAACAAAUGUCAAGCACGUGCUAGACUAUUGCAUUAAAUAGUUUAAUCGACAAAAGGGCUAGAAAGGGCCAUUUGUAUCUAAAAUAGGGUACUUUUGGCUAUAAAAAUAAAAGAAACGAAAAGCUAGUUAAAUUGUAAAUAGCUUCUAAAGUUUGGCUAUUUUCAUAAAUUUUCUGAUAUUUUCACCAAAUUUUCUCCACUAAUCAGUGUAAAAGUAAAUAAACAAUUUCCUAAUUUAAGAGAGAAAACUGAUGACAGUAAUGUAACGCACACUUGGCACGUGCUAUGUGUUCAAUCAACCAAGAUGGCCGGCCCCAUGUAUUAACUUGUAUAUUUUACGGUUUAAUUCCCUCAAUCACGACAUUUUACAGGUUCAUCAAAGAAAUGGGCAGGCAUUAUAUCUUCGAUUUCUUCUUCCUUAUAUUUUUGUCUCAUUGUCUUCCAAAUCCCUCUUUUCAGGUAAUUCUUUCCAUUUCUUCCAUAAUUAUUUCCUCAUUUUAUAUUAUAAAUUAUAAUGGUGAUUACUUCUCACUAUUUACCUCACUUUUUUAUAAUUCAAUUAUCACUUGACGUUUAUUUUACUGUCAAAGACAGCAUUAUUCAAUUCUAGUAAUAAAAAGUAUAAAACGUAAUAACCUAUCCCAACCGCAUUUCUUUUUGACAUUCCUUUCCUACGUAGGUGGAGUUUGAAUCUCAAAUCUCUUGUCCUGCCUUGAGAGAUUGUAUUGACUAAACUUAAUGGCAUCAUAAAUGCUUUUGAUGUAUUUCAUACUUAAAAAUAUACUUGUAUAACACAUGUUUUAUUGUUUGUUUCUGUAGGAUACCAUGUAGAAGUGGAAAAUGUACAACGCCCAUAGAGGUGACAUCCUUCCAGUUGAUUAUAAGUGAAGUCUUCCCAGAAUUUUUAUCCAAGGUUCUUCUAUACCCUGGAGCCUUUGCAAGUGCUAUAAUGAAGGGCAAAAACAUUCCUAGAUAUUUGUGCUUUGUGCUUUCUUGUCUAUUAGAAAAGAUCUAAGGAAAAUUAUUCUUUGUUGAAAAGCCCAGCAGAUCAAAAAGUAUGUUUGAUUAAAAGUAAAAGAUGCAUGAGUUGAGGCUAAUGAAGAAAUGUGGUUUCUGCCAGAAAUUCAGUUGGGGUACAUAGAAGGAAUGAUGUAGUAGUAUAAGCUGAGAUUUAAGAAUGGCUUCGAAUUUUAAUGGGGGUUAGCCAGUAGAAUAUUUGGGUUUCUGUAUGUUGUAACAAAUUUUUUUUCCUUUCUUUUCCUGUAAACCCUUUUCUGUAGGAUCUUGUUACCUCUGCUAAUUAAAUGACACAUUGUGAUUUUAUCCUGUUUCACAUAUAUGCAAGUACAAACCGGUGGUCAUAUAGGGGCAAUUAUUGGAGAUGAAUUAUUGGACGCAUACGGUGCUGGGAUGUGUGUAGACUGCGAAUUUUUUAAUUUUUUUUUCUUGCGCUUUGUCUGGUUCCUUUUUUUUUUUUUUUAAAUAAGCGGUUUGGUUGGCUUUUAGAAGAGCUCAGGAGGCAAGAAAUUGAAAUGAAAGAAAGGAAAAGAAAUAAUAAAAAUAUCUCUUUCCUUUUUCGUUAAACUUUAUUGGGAUAAUUAUUUGUACUAAAUUCUUGUGUUUUGAAGAUGGGUUGGUUCUUUAGUGUAAGAUGAUCACUAUGGUUUGCUUAAUAGAUUAUCAUUGGGAGAAGUUAAUUCUAGUACUUAAUAAGUAUCAAUUAAAAUUCUCUGAUGUUCUAAUUUUUUCUUAGGUUAAAUUUAAGUGAUUGGUGUUUGAUAAAUUAAAAAAUAAAAUAAUUAAAUCAUAAUCAUAUACUACUACUGCUAAAGAAGGGGUGGCAUAACAUUUUUAAAACUCUGAGAGAGCUUAAAUCACAAAGGAUUUUAAUAUGAUAAAAAUUGUAUAAAAUAAAAGUGUAUUAAAUAAAAGAAUUUUGAUGCUGAAAGUAAAGAUGAUGCCAGCUCGCUACAAGUAUAAUGACAUUUUGAGAUGAUUAGUUUGACAACCUUGGAAUGUUACCAGAAUUUUGAUGAUGCUAGCCACGCUAUAAUGUCAUUCAUGCUGGAGAUAAACUUAUUAUAAUUUACACGAAAUUCAGACGUCAGUUUUGUUAAUCUUUAAUUUUAUUUAAUAUAAUUUUGAAUGCUUUUUUUAUGAAACAAAAAUAAAAAUUGUUACUUCUUAAAUACCAAAAGUAUUUUAACACAUUCUUUAUGAAGAAAAUGACCAAUAUUCCUUUUUAUUUGAUAAAAUUGAUUAUGUUUCCCAUAUUUUUUAAACUCUUAAAAAUACCCAUAAAUAAAACGUUAAACAAUUAGAAAUACUUUUUAGAAUAUAAUAUAUAUAUAUAUAUAUAGAGAGAGAGAGAGAGAGAGAGUUGGGACUCAAGAGGUGAUGUGGCAUCACUAUUUCUCAUCUUCUUAUAUUCUCUAUUAUCUAAUAUAUUAGUUGAGAUUAAAAAAUAAUUACAUUACAAAAUAUUAAAAAUAGAAAAUAAAUAUUAGAUUACAAAAGAUUACAUAUCUCUUCCUCUUUCUAUUUAAAUUCAAUAAUAUGUAACCAUUAAUAAUAAUUAAUUAUAAGUCUUGAAACAUUCAUUUAUUUUAUUAUGCCAAUAAUUAAACUUUAGUGGCUUAAAAUACAUCAAUUAAUUAAUAUAGGAAGGAAUGUUCUUUCAUCUUCCCUCAACAAUGCCAUUAGAGCCUAAUUUUAAUGUCAUAAUCCUAUAUUUAAUUAUGCAACCUUUUGUUUAGUGCAUUUUCGCUUCUUCAAACUCUGUAAAUAUUAAGUAUUUAAGAUUUGUGGCAUCAUUAUUUCUCAUCUUCUUAUAUUCUCUAUUAUCUAAUAUAUUAGUUGAGAUUAAAAAAUAAUUACAUUACAAAAUAUUAAAAAUAGAAAAUAAAUAUUAGAUUACAAAAGAUUACAUAUCUCUUCCUCUUUCUAUUUAAAUUCAAUAAUAUGUAACCAUUAAUAAUAAUUAAUUAUAAGUCUUGAAACAUUCAUUUAUUUUAUUAUGCCAAUAAUUAAACUUUAGUGGCUUAAAAUACAUCAAUUAAUUAAUAUAGGAAGGAAUGUUCUUUCAUCUUCCCUCAACAAUGCCAUUAGAGCCUAAUUUUAAUGUCAUAAUCCUAUAUUUAAUUAUGCAACCUUUUGUUUAGUGCAUUUUCGCUUCUUCAAACUCUGUAAAUAUUAAGUAUUUAAGAUUUGUGGCAUCAUUAUUUCUCAUCUUUUUAUAUUCUCUAUUAUCUAAUAUACUAGGAAAUAGAAUCGCACUUCGUGCGGCUUUAAAAAAAUAAUUUAGUAUUAUCUUUUUUUAUUACUUUGCACUUGAUGAAACUGAUAAAAAAUAUUAAUUAUUUUUUUUAAGAUGACGGCCUUAUAAAACUAAUGUUAUUUAUAAAAGUUAAUUAUUUUUUUGUUAACAUUAAAAAUAUAUAUUAAUGUAUAUAGUUAAGUGUACACAACCUUUUCAUCAAUAAAAAUUAUGUUCACACUAAUCAACUCUCUAUUUUUCUUGGUAUUAACAGACUCCCACAUCUUACAAAACCUAACCCUUAUCAUCCAAUUAUCUUUAUCAUUAUUUAACUCAUGAAGAAAAGAAUACUCCAUGAAGCACACAAUACUAAAAAUUUAAAUAAGUCAAAAAAUAAAAACACAAGAACAUUUCUAAAGAGCAUGUUGGUUAAAUAAAAAAAAACCCCAAACAUAAUAAAUCUUAAAUGCUUAAUAUUUAUAGAGUUUGAAGAAGCCAAAAGACACUAAAUAAAAGGUUGCAUAAUUAAAUAUGGGAUUUUAUUUUUUAAUCUCAACCAAUAUAUUAGAUAAUAGAGAAUAUAAAAAGAUGAGAAAUAAUAAUGCCACAAAUCUUAACUAUUUAAUAUUUAUAGAGUUUGAAGAAGCCAAAAGGCAGUAAACAAAAGGUUGCAUAAUUAAAUAUGAGAUUACAGCAUUAAAAUUAGACCCUAAUGGCAUUGUUCGGGGAAGAUGAAGGAACAUUCCUUCCUAUAUUAAUUAAUUGAUAUAUUUAAGCCACUAAAGUUUAAUUGUUGGCAUAAUAAAAUAAAUAAAUGCUUCAAGAUUUAUAAUUAAUUAUUAUUAAAUAUUAUUGAAUUUAAAUAGAAAGAGGAAGAGACAUGUAAUCUUUUAUAAUCUAAUAAUUAUUUUUUAUUUUUAAUAUUUUGUAAUGUAAUUAUUUUUUUAAUAUCAACCAAUUUAUUAGAUAAUAGAGAAUACAAGAAGAUGAGAAAUAGUACUGCCACAUCACCUCCUCUAGUCCCAACUUUAUAUAUAUAGAUUUUUAAUAUUUUGUAAUGUAAUUAUUUUUUAAUCUCAACCAAUAUAUUAGAUAAUAGAGAAUAUAAAAAGAUGAGAAAUAAUAAUGCCACAAAUCUUAACUAUUUAAUAUUUAUAGAGUUUGAAGAAGCCAAAAGGCAGUAAACAAAAGGUUGCAUAAUUAAAUAUGAGAUUACAGCAUUAAAAUUAGACCCUAAUGGCAUUGUUCGGGGAAGAUGAAGGAACAUUCCUUCCUAUAUUAAUUAAUUGAUAUAUUUAAGCCACUAAAGUUUAAUUGUUGGCAUAAUAAAAUAAAUAAAUGCUUCAAGAUUUAUAAUUAAUUAUUAUUAAAUAUUAUUGAAUUUAAAUAGAAAGAGGAAGAGACAUGUAAUCUUUUAUAAUCUAAUAAUUAUUUUUUAUUUUUAAUAUUUUGUAAUGUAAUUAUUUUUUAUAUUUUGUAAUGUAAUUAUUUUUUAAUUUCAACCAAUUUAUUAGAUAAUAGAGAAUAUGAAAUGAUGAGAAAUGGUAAUGCCUUGUAGUCCCAACUUUAUAUAUAUAUAUAUAUAUAUAGAUUAGGUGAUGUAUUUUAAGGCACUAAAUUCUCAUUCCCAAAUUUUUUUGUAGUCAGUCUAUUGACCAAGUGGACACAGUGAGCAAUAUUGUGGGUUUAAAUAUCCACACUCUUUAUAAAUCAUUUUGACUUGUCAAAAUACUUUCUAUAAUUCUAAAAUUUGUCCCAUUGAGGGAAAAUGAAAGAACCUCUCUUCCUAUGUUAAUUAAUUCAUGUAUUUUAAUCCACUAAAGUUUAAUUGCUAGCAUAAUAAAAUAAAUAAAUGUUUCAAAAGGCUUAUAAUUAAUUAUUAUUAAUGAUUACAUAUUGUUGAAUUUAAAUAGAAAGAGAAAAAAAAGUACAAAGAAUAUCCACCAAUAUUUUAGAUAUUUUAGAUAAUAGAAAAUAUAAAAAGAUGAUGAAAGAUAUAUAUUAAUAAAGUUACUAUUUAUUAAAUGUGUUAAAUACAAUCAAAUUAAUUCUAAGAAGAUGAAAAGCCAAAUCUAAAAAAAAAAUCUAUAUUUAUUAGAUAAUAGAGAAUAUACAAAGAAGCAAAAUGGCGAUGCCACAUCACCUCCUCAAGUCCUAACUUUAUAUAUAUAUAUAGAUAUAUAGAUAGAUAUAGAUUGGUUGAGAUUAAAAAAUAAUUACAUUACAAAAUAUUAAAAAUAGAAAAUAAUUAUUAGAUUACAAAAAAUUACAUGUCUCUUCCUUUUUCUAUUUAAAUUCAAUAAUAUGCAACCAUUAAUAAUAAUUAAUUAUAAGUCUUGAAACAUUCAUUUAUUUUAUUAAGCCAACAACUAAACUUUAGUGACUGAAAAUACAUCAACUAAUUAAUAUAGGAAGGAAUUUUCCUUCAUCUUCCCUCACCAAUGUCAUUAGGGCCUAAUUUUAAUGUCAUAAUUCCAUAUUUAAUUAUGCAACCUUUUGUUUAAUGUUUGUUGACUUCUUCAAACUCUAUAAACAUUAAGUAUUUAAGAUUUGUUAUGUUUGAGUUUUUUUAUUAUUUAACCAACAUCCUCCUUAGAAAUAUUCUUGUAUUUUUAUUUUUGACUUACUUGAAUUUUUAGUAUUAUGUGCUUCAUGGAGUACUAUUUUCUUCAUGAGUUAAAUAAUGAUAAAGAUAGUUGGAUAAUAAGAGUUAGGUUUUGUAGGAUGUGGGAGUCUGUUAAUACCAAGAGGAAUGAAGAAUUGAUUAGUGUGAAUAUGAUUUUUAUUGAUGAAAAUGUUGUAUAAAAAAUUUCUUCUCUCAUUAUUUUCUGUAAUUUUUCCCCAAUUGUUUUACACUUAAUGUAGCAUUUUUUUUCGUAAAAAAAUUUAAUGCAUGCAACAAUUAGGAAAAAUUUAGUGACAAUGUUUAGGUAUUAACUCAUAAAAGUGUGGAUCACAUUGAAAUGACAUUUUAUAUGAUGCACGACAUACGGAGAGGUGCAAUUUUAAUAUGCAAAUUUUAUAUAUAAAUACAGAUUUAUUACACACAUGCAAUCAUCAAGUUAAAACGCAAGCAUGAGUUUGGUUUUGAAAUAUUCAAAUAAUUUAUUUCAUUAUCGAUCCUUAAAUAACAUGCUUUGGAAUUAAUAGUUCGAUAGGAUGUUUGAUAUAUUGAAAUUUGUGAUAAUCAAUAAUCAACUAAUUUUCAUACAUAUUUAAAGAUUUUAGUAAAUUACUCAUAAAUUUGUGGCAUAUAUUGAAAUGACAAUCAAUCUUAAUAUUGACUGACAACCAAUUUUUAUAGUGAUUGACACUUAAGACAAUCAAUUUUGGUCUCCGUAAUCACUAAUGAAGAAUUGUAAGCCUGAAAUUCCACAUGUUGCAAUGUUGGACCAAUGAGGGAAAUGCUUCAUUAACAUUACCUGGAAAAUAAAUGUUGACUGAUUUUCAAAUUAGGCCAACAUACAAGUAGUCGUCAAUUCUAUUUUUUUCCAAUAGUUGAUAAAGAUGGUUAGCUAAGAAAAAAAAGUUGAUUGAGAUAAUUUAAAGAAUUUAAGCGUAAGUUUGGGUUUGAAAUUAUCAAAUAAUUUAUUUCAGUAUUGAUUUUUAAAUAAUGUGCUUUAGAAUUAAUAACUUGAUAGGAUGUUUGAUAUAUUGAAAUUUGUGAAAAUCAAUAAUCAACUAUUUUUCAUACAUGUUUAGACAUUUUAAUAAAUUACUCAUAAAUUUGUGGUGUACACCGAAAUAAUAAGUUAAUAACAUAGAAUCGAUAUCUGAAGCUCUUGAGUCCUUUUGUAUCCUUGCAUUAAUUUGAAUCAAAACUUGAAUUAAAAUCAAAGACUGAUAUUGAGAAUUUAUAAAAAUGACUUAAGAAUAUGAUUGAGUUUACAUUGAAUUAUAUAUGUCAAAUAAUAUAUUCAAGCACCGAUAUUCUCAGAAAAAAAAAAGAUAAUGAAUCUUUGUGUCAAUUGAUAUUAUUGAUUGACAAUGAAUCUUAAUAGAGGAUGAGUGGCGCGUAAUAGAGGGUUCAUCGCUUGCGGAAUUUUCGCGGCAAUUCAAGAAUCAGGAUGGUUGUUGUAGAAUUCCACAAGAAUUGGCCCGGUCUACACAGCACGUGUAUAUGUAUACAUUUGUUAUUCACUAGAAUAUUGGUGGUUUAUUUUUUAUUUAAAAAAAUUCUAGAAUCAUGUUAAAUUUUAAAUAUUAAAACAAUCUUGCGGGUUUGGGCAUGAACAUCUCGCCGCUUUUGUUACAACUAGACACAAUUGGGCAUGGUAUUUGGGCAGGCCCAAAGUUAACAAAAAUUUGGGUUUAUGUUUUUCGCAUUGGGCCCAAUCAGAACACUGGGCUCUGUUUGGCCUUGUCGUAGUAAAACGCACUAUUCAAUGGAGAAGCAGCAAAUGGUGCCGGUCCGGAGAAUUUCGACAUUGAUACAUUCUCCUCCACAGACUGCAAGCUCGGAUGAGGAAAUUCUUGAUCGAACAUUAAUGAUGUAAUAAAGAUCUCUUUAGUAUUUCUCACUUUUACAACUUAAAAAAAAUUAUUUAUUAUAUCAUUAUUGUAGUAGUAAUAAUAAUAGUAAUAAUUUAUAAACUGCAUUAAUCAUCACAAGCCUUUUGGUGAAACUACAUAAAGUAAUGAUAUGAAUAAAAGUUUGGAGUUGGAACCAACAAAAGCCAAGGGAAAGAUGUGUAUAGACUAAUUUUAAUCAAAUCACAUUUGUGAACUAAUUUUAGCAGAAAAGCACAUCACGCGUAUGGCCUAGUGAAUGCAUGAUUGUAAUAGAUCCACAUUCUGCGCCAGUAUGAGUUUAUCCAAAGUAUCGCGAAAAACCCCAUGAUGAAUGUGACAUAUGAUGAACCGAAACUCCAACUGAAUGACACCAUAUCAAUUGCACAUUCAUCUUCAUCUUCUCCUCGAUUGGAUUCUAUUGCUGGUAUUUCCUCCGCAUUGUUGCAACUCUUAUUAACUGUUGGACCACAAAGAUGCAGAUUUCCUCCAUAACUGCCUUCAUUGAAUGUGGCAAACUGCUCUUUGUCUGGUAUCAAGUUGGACAAAUUGUUGUAUGACACCUUGAAGACAGAAAAAAAAUUGAGCUCAGUCGAUAAAGGAGGAAUUCUACCACUUAAUCUGUUGUAAGAAAAGUCUAGGCUAUAUACCACUUUUAAUUUGGAAUACCUUUUUGGUUUAUAAACCGACAAGCAAUUAUGAGACAAAUUCAAUAAAUGAAUUUCUUGAAGUUGUCGUCCGAUUUCCAAUGAGAUUUCUUCUGUCAAAUACUUGCAUGACAAAUCUAGUUUGUAUAUAAUAUAAAAGAUGUGAAAGUUGAAUGAGAAUGGAGUAUAAGUAGUAGCGGGCCCACGAAGUGAUGAACUGCCCCUACUAGGUCUAAAAGUUUCUGAUAACAUAUUUUAUUUAGGUGGUGGAAAUUAUAAAUUUGUCCUGUUGGAUUAAUUGAAUACAUAGAUUUAAGUUCAAAUUUUAUUUUAAAAUCACAUAUAAAUCUCAUUCAUUUGCAAUUUAUUAGUCCAGUUGUUUAAUUAGAUGUCCAAAAUCCAAUUGAAUCUAUUAAAAUAAGGUCGGUGGUCUAAUUUGAAAUUUAAUCUGAUUUAGUCCAAAUGUACAACUUAACAUUAGAAAUAUGAAAAUUAAAUCUAUUAUUAAGAAGAAAAAUAAAAAUAUCUACAACCAUAAAAAUAUCCUCUUAAAACUGUAUUUUCUGAAGACACGUAAGUAGAUGUACUAAUAAAAUUAUAAAAGUAAUAAAGUAAGAGCGUGAACUUUUUUCUUUGGUUAUUUAUAAAUUUUACUCUAUUAAUAUGAUUUUCUAGCUAAACCAAUGAGUCUACAAUAUUGGAUUUCAAUAAACAUAAAAAGAUUCGUAAUUAAGGUCGAGAAUUCUGAGUGCUUUAAAUCAUGUGGAGAAAAUUGUGAAUUUUAGCCAAAACAUAGGACCUGUCUAUGGUACAGAUUCUGUAACAAACAUCUCCCGUCAUCCCACCAUCCGAUUUUCUAUUGUUCAGUUUCUCACUCCACAUCCAACCACAUCCAACGGCUGAUGCUGCAGUCUGUACCUUACAGAAUCUGUAAGCUAGUCGAGUCCCAAAACAUAUUCGUCAAUUGAGAAAAUGGUGGGCCAGUGUUUACUUCAAAGUAAAUGUCAUACCAUUACUGGAUAAUAUUUAUUUAUUUAUUUGAGGUUGAAAAAGUUUUUAUGAGAUGUGGGUUGGAAGUUGAAAUAAACAUUUCUUUAUCAUAUUUACUAGGAUCUGUUAUAUUUGAAAGUGAACAAAAGUCACAAAACGAAUGAAAAAGUGUACAGGGAUAAAACAAAUAGAUUUUUCUACGCCUCUGCGGCGUAAAAUAGUUACUCUUUAAGAGUUCAAGUCAUCAAGUGCGUGUAUGCAGUAGAUUAUUAGAUUUGUAGCGGGACUGCAAAUUAGCAAUUAUUUAUCCCUCCCCAAUCGGCACACCCACCGCACACCCCCUCCCCGGCGGCGCGGCGCGAGUUCGCUGCCAUUCCAUAAUCGUUUAAUAAUCUGUAAGUAUUAGGCCAGUAUUUGAAAAUCAGUAGGAACAAUUUUCUAUGAAAAUUAAGACAACUUGCAAGGAAAAUGUGAUAUGUAAUGGUCACCAUAGCUAUUUUUAUUAGGCCAUCAAACAUGAGCUGAAAGUUUAUUGGAUGGAUUUGGCCAUCGCCUAGGCGACGAAGGCUGAUUGCGAUGAGCCUAGUAAUUUCGCUUGUCGCCAAAAGCAAUGUACGUCGUUGCCCGGGUGAUGGCACCCAUCGCCUAUAAUCUGGGCAAGGCUUGUGUCUUUGCACUGCGAAAGGUUUAAAGACAAUAACAAAGCCACUACCAUUCAAACGUCAUUAAAGUGAGUUCUUUAGCAUUAAAGAUCAUUUAAAAGCGUUUGAUACUUUAUAAUUUAUUUUGUUUGGUAUAUAAGUUUAGGUAAUAAUGCACACAAGGAUGAGCACAUAUAAUGAGUUGGGGUGGGGGGACAUUCGACAAAUGCCAAGUGAGUGUUGUGGGACCAUCGCACUAAAUAGUGUAACUUACAAAAGGACUAGUCAAGGGCAUUUGUAUCUAAAAUAAUUUUUUUUUAAAAAAAUUAUUACUGCACUAUCUCUUUUUUAUCUUAUAUUUAUCUAACUAUUAAAAAAAUUUAACAUGUUCUCUGCACCUUUUUUUUUUUAAAUUUGUAUCAACUAGCCACCUUUUAACUAACAACGUUAAAUAAUUUAAAUGAAAUGAUAAUUUUACCCCUAAAUAAAUUAAAAGACCAUUUUAUUUUACAAAAACUUUGAAAAAUAAGAAAAUUAUAAUUAUAAAAAUACCCCUAAAUUUAAUAAAAAAUAAAUCACAAACAAAGGUGCUCAACUGAUUUUUAUUUAAUUUAGAUUUUACAAAAUUUUAAUAAUUAUUUUUAUUAAAAAAUUAUAAUUUUGCAAAAUUUUAAUAAAAUCAAUGAAAAAUUCUAAUUUUGGGAUUUAUUUUUUAUUAAACUUAGGGGUAUUUUUAUCAUUAUAAUUUUCUUAUUUUACAAAGUUUUUGUAAAAUAAAAUGGUCUUUUAAUUAUUUAGGGGUAAAAUUGUCAUUUUAUUUAAAUUAUUUAACGGUGUUAGUUAAAAAGUGGCUAGUUGAUACAAAUUAAAAAAAAAAAUGGUGUAGAGAACAUAUUAAAUUUUUGUAGUGGUUAGAUGAACAUAAGAUAAAAAAGAGAUGGUGCAGUGAUAAUUUUUUUAUUUUCUUUACUAUAAAUAUAAAAAUAAAAGAAAUGAAAAACUGUCUAAAAUUGAAGAUAUAAUGACUAUCGCACACUUGUCACGUGUAUGUGUUCGAUCAAUCAAGAUGGCCGGCCCCAUGAAUUAACUUACAUCUUUUACAGUUUCAAUUCCCUCCAUCACGGCAUUUUACCGUUUCUUUAAUUUUCAAGCUGUUUUUGAUGGGUUCAUCAAAGAAGUGGGCAGCCAUUAUAUCUUCAAUUUCUGCUUCUUUAUAUUUUUGUCUCGUUGUCUCCCAAAUCCCUCUUUUCAGGUAAUUCUUUCUGUUUCUUCCAUAGCUAUUUUCUCAUUUUGUAUAAUAAUGGUGAUUAUUUCUCAUUAUAAGUGAAAUCUUCCCUGAAUUUGUAGCCAAGGUUCUUCUAUAUCCUUGAGCCUUUGCAAAUGCUAUAAUGAAAGGCAAAAACAUUCCAAACUACAGCAAAUUGCUGCGGUUCUAUAACUUCACCAAUCUUACGAAUUCCUAGAAAACUGAUUUCCUCCGCCUAGAGGUUGUCGUAAUAUUUUUUUUUCUUUUUUUGAAAUCCUCAUAUUCAUCAUAAUUCCUGCAAGAACAUUGGGAGCCUUAUGCCUAAUUAUAAUCCUUUGUUUUUUUUGGGAACACCAGGUUCUUGCAGGAAGCUAGGGGGCCUUCUAAGAGAAGCAAUCAUGUUCAGGUUUUCUUGUGACAAAGAUUCGAGAAAAGAUGUUUAUAUCUACCCAAAUAUGCCAAUUUUUGUGCUUUGUGCUUUCUUGUCUAUUAGAAAACAUUUAAGGAAAAUUAUUCAUUGCUGCAAAGCCAAGCAUAUAAAAAAUUAUCUCUGAUUAAAAGUAAAAGAUGUAUGAGUUGAAGCUGAUAAAUAAAUGUGAUUUCUAGGUGAAGUACAGUUGGGGUACAUAGAAGGAAUGAUGUAGUAGUACAAGCUGAGAUUUUAGAAUGGCUUCGAAUUUAAUGGGAGUUGACCAGUAGAAUAUUUGCGUUUCUGUAGCUUGUAACUGCUUUUUGCCUUCUUUUUCUGUAGGAUCUUGUUGCCUCUGCUGUUUAAAAGACAAUUUAUGAUUUUAAUCCUGUUUCAAUACUGAAAAUUUGUUGUAAAUAUAGAAAUCCCAUUGAAAAUUUUAUUAGAGCAUCAAUUUCAGUACGGGAAAUUAUUUUUGACAACAUCAAAUAUCAAGGAUGUGAUCUUCAAUCUAUAUUUUGCUACUUUAUUUCAUUUGAAGUUUUAAUUUUAUUUAGGGUCCUAAGCAAAUUAUAAUGUAGAUUUUAAAACAUCCCACGUUGCUUCUAUGUUACUUCAUGCCCCUAAAGUGUAGAUGGUGUUACCAUAUUAUCAUGUUUGUCACUCAAUUUUUCAUGAUUUAAGCUUGAGGAGAAGAAUGUUGAUGAUAAGGGAUAAGAAUGCGUGAAAUGUCAGCUACUUCACACAAUGAUUUUGUGGUUUAGAAUCUAAUGGUGGGCAAGCCACAGUAAUGUGCACAUUGCAUUCUCUUAUGGAAUUCGGACAAGCUGGCAAAACAUUCAGCAUCAAUAUGAACAUUAUAACAUGAUCUCAUAGCCCCAUACAGCUGACAGAGAGAGAAUGAUGAGUGAUAAAGUUUGAAAUUUGCUAGUUUUGGUGGAUUUUGGUCGUUGAAGGAACUGAGAGAGAAUGUUCAAUAGAAAGUCUUUUUGAUGCUAUCAUUCACGCUGAUAUUAUGAUAAAUCUUUAUCAUGUCCAUUGAAAGUUAUCAUUUCAAGUGGUGGUUAUUAGUUGAAAGAAGCUGUUAUUGAAUUUGAAGACAGAGUCUGUUUCAUGUGCAUUGAAAUUUAGAUAUUUAUGCAGGUUUGUUAGCUUAAAUUGGUUGGUUUUUGGUGAUGGGGAUAUUUGAUAGAAGUUUGACAGUAUCUGUAGGCAGUACACUGGGUUCUCUUAGUUGUUGUAGAAGUCUUCAAAAGACCAGAUUGAAUUUAAUCCAGUUCUGGCUAUUCAUCUCAUCUUCAUUUCUUUUACAGACUGAUGAAAGCGGGAAAUUCUUGGUUGGCUCCAAUCCUGUGUUAAGUAAGGAUUUAUUGUCACACGAGAGGAACUCUCUUCCUUCUCUUAAUGGUAGAAGUGAUCUGUUAAAGUUGGAGCACGCCCUGAUUGCGGAGAACCUGUGGAGUUUUUUAGAGAAAUUAGGAGCUUGCUACAGCGUAAUUCCUUGUCAUAUCUAUCGUAUUUGGCAUGAUGAGGUUUCUUGUUUUGUUCCUUUCCUGCAUGUGAGUGAGUAUGUGCGAUGGGGCUAAAGCAAGCUAAGUCAAAGCCACUUGAAGUUAGGAGUCCUUUGGGGAUUCACGUGCUCAUGACAAAUGGCAUUCUAACUGCAGGGUUUAGCAAGAGAGACCGCAGAGUGUGGUAAUUUCCUCAUGUGACUCAUUUUGUAUUUAUUUCACAUUUCUUGCUUUAUAUGAUCUGGUUAUGGUGUCAUCUGGAGUAUGUUGUCAGCAGAUGCUCAGGAAGUAUUUAGGUUUUUAUGUUAGUAAUUUCCUUCAAAUAGAACUGAAUUUUACGACAGAACCAAGAAAAGUAAAACAGAGCAGACAUGGUGUAGUAUUUUGUUGUUAUUAUUUAAGCCUGAGGAAUAGUGCCUAACAGACUGAAGUUUUUGUCUUCUAAUCUUUGAACUUUAUGGUAACAUUACAAGUUUUGUCUAGUUAGUUCAAAUCUUCAAGAAGUGAAUGUAAAGCUUACUUGAUUGAGCAAAUGGUAAAGGGAUGAUGAACUUUUGCCCUAUCGAACUUGUCAUUUUCUUUUUCUUCAAUACUAGUGUUUUUUUCUUCAUUAUUUUUCUUCACAUACCAAAAAGGAGUGAAAAUUUGAAAGUCUACUCGUAAUGCUUUUGAGGCUUACACUCUGUCUUGAUAGGAAAAAGAAAAUGGCAACAUUACAAAUUUACAAUGUCUGAUAUGAAAGACAAGAAAGCAUGUUACACACAAUUAGAUACAUAAAUUGAAAAGAAAAAAAAAGCUCCUACCAUAAAUCUAUGAAAACUCUAUUUCUAUAGGAUCGAAACAGGUAGAGAAAACUCUUUGCGUGACUCGAUCCUCCCAUUGUAGCUCGUUCCACCAGUCUUUCUUUCCCUUGACAACAAUUUUAUGUCCCAUUGCUCUACUGGAAUUGAGUGGGAGCUUCUUCAGCUUUGGGCAUCCAGUUACUUCAAUUUCCUUCAGCUGUGGAAAAGGCAAGGGAUCCCAAUAGAUGCUCUUCAAAUUUACAAGACCUUUUAGGUAUAGAAAUUCGAGUUAUGGUAGAAAGUUCUGCUUUUUCAUUAUCUCUAAAACUUCAUUCAACUUUUCAGGACUGAUUAUUUCUUCCAUAUUACCGCAAUUCUGUACAUUAAUAUUCUUAGAGGUUUGGAGAAAAACAAGCCAUGUCAAUUCCUUCAAUCUUAAACAAUCAGAUAUGAUAACUGUAUUUUGUAUCUCUCCUGCAUUUUCAAUCUUCAAUUCUUCAAAAGCACAGUUCUAAGUAAGAAAGUUUUUGGGAUGCUAGAGGUAAAACAAUGACUGACUUUGGAGUAUGAAUUUUUGUAAGCUCUAGAGAUCCUGUACCACUCAGCAACUUUUGGAAUGUGAAAAAAAUUUUCAAGAGCGGGCCAACUAUCCAAGGUAAGUCAGCAGAUUCAAUUUUUCCAAACAGAUCCCUUCCUAAAAGGUUCAACAUAUUCAAAUAAAGCUCUACUUUCUUCUUCUCUACUACAAUUUAUGCAAUCCAGCAUUCUGAGUGACUGCAACUUUGGAAAGUUACACAGCAGUUGCAGAAGUUUUUUAGGUACACAUAUUCCAAGUUCAAAUACCUAAGAUUUACCAAAGCCUUCAUCUCUUCUGGCAAGUCCCCUAUGACAGUAAAAGACAUCCCAAGAUGUUAUAGUGAAAGCAUAAAUUGGUUAAGAGUAUAUUGAAUUCUAGAUUCAAAAUUUUAAGGGAAGGCAUAAAUUGAAAGAAGCCAUCAGUGAUCAUACUUAUUCUAUUUCUGUAAUGAAGCAAAUUUGCAACGAACGCCAUUCUAACUAAAGGGUUUACCCGGAGAAACAGCAGCUUGAGGUAAUUUCCUUCUGUGUGACUUGUAUGACACUUGUUUCACAUUGUCCUGUUCAUGGUGUGAUCUAGUAGAAUAUGUUAUUGGCAUGCGCUUGUGUUCAUAUUAUGAUACUAAUAAAUUACUUGUAAGAAGUACUGAAUUUAUAACUAUAGAAUCCAGAGAAAUAAAAUAGAUAAGUUACAAAACACACGGUGCACUAUCUUAAUAGUAUUAUUUGAAUGAUUCUAAAAUGUUCACAUAGGAAUCAUGACCUUACCUUUGCAAAUUGGAUGCCUGGUUGAUUGAUUCAGAGUACAGCACCAAGCUGACAUCUAUAAGAUCAUUUAAUCAAGGGUAUUUCUCUACCUGCUAUUGUAGUGUUUAUGUCCUUUUUUAAGUCUGUUAAUGAAAUGUGUACGGAAAAGAAUUGUGUUGGCAGAGGCCGAAAUAAACAAUGAAGAAAAAGGAACAAUAAAAAGAAAUGAAAACGUGGUAUCUCACAAGGUGUUAUGCCACGUUAAUGUGCAGCUUCUGAAGACUUAUGCCCUGAACCGUUUGGCUUAUAGAGUAAUAUAAACUUAUUUAACUUCCUCUGGCUCAAGUGUUAAUUCAAUGCUCAAGAGAGCGGUGAACAUAAGCCUUGAUAGUAGAGCACACUUGAUUGAGCAAAGAGAGCUUUGAGAGAAGAUGAAAUUUUACUCUAUUCAACUUGAUGUUGUCUCUAUUCAUCUUGUAUAUUAGUUGUUCUUUAAUAUCUUUCUUCACAUAAGAUAGGUAGUAGAAGCAUCUGAACUUAAGCAUUAUUCGUAUAGCAUGUUAGCAUGGGUUACCAUCAAACAAACCUUUUUUUUUCCUUCUUUCUUUUUCUGGAGGUGUAGAUGAUGAUUUGUUACCUCCCCUUUUAUAUUCAGGGUUUUGAAGUUGUGCUACCAGAUAAAAGCAACAAUGGAACACACAUUAAUUCCUGAUUCAGGGUUUUGAAGUUGUGCUAGUUUUGAAGUUGUGCUACCAGAUAAAAGCAACAAUGGAACACACAUUAAUUCCUGCAGUUGAUGCUUUGAACAGAAAGGACGUGGAAGGGGCGACAAACUUGUUAAGAAGAGCACUACAGGUACUACUAGCGAGGGCAGUGAACAUUGUUAUCCUGGCCUCAAAUGAUAUUCUUGAUCUUUUGCCUCCGGAUGAUCCUCUUUUUAAUAAAUGCAUCGAUCCAAUGGAUGCUUUGGUCUGCAGUCAAAUGGGUGAAAUCUGCUGAAAAAGCUAAAUAGAGAUUGAAGAAUAUUUUAAUUUUUUACUUGCAUUUUGCUAAAACUACUUUCGAAAGUGAGAUACAGAGCCUUUGGGCUGAGAAAAUCAAGUCACGAUUUGCUAUUUAGGCCGAAUCCGAUGGACCUUUUUUUAUCAGUAGCACAAAUUUUUUUAGUACCAAUAUUACAUAAAUCUCACUAUUUCGAGAUAAUCAAUCUCCGAAAUAGGUUGUAACUUUUUGAAGAAAGAAGUCAUAUUCAGUUAAGUAAUUUGAAAGCCUUAUUACUAGCAAUGCAAUUCUUGGAACAAAGAAAUUUUUUAGCUGAAAAUAAUAAACAAUAUCUAUGAUUUACUAUUUAUCUCAUAUUAUUUUUAUAAAGACCAAUAAUUUUUAACAGUAUAAUUUAUAAUAUUACUUUUAUUUACAAAUAUAUUUUUAUUAUAAAUUAAAUAAAUCAUAUGAAUGAUUAUUUGAAUAAAAAAUUAAAUAUUAAAAGAAAAAAAUAUAUUUUAAUAUGAAUAAAAAAUUAAUAAUAAAAUAUUUUUCUUGCACUUUUUAUUUUAUAAUAUUUUCUUAUAAUGAAUAUAUAAAAUAAAAAAUAUUUAUUUUUUAUUCACAUCAAAAUAUAUAUUUUUUAUUUUAAUAUUUUAUUUUUAUUUCUAUUCAUAUAUUUAUUUAAUUUAUAAUAAAUAUAAAUAAAAAUAUAUUUUAAAAUAAAAAUAAUAUUAAAAUAUUAUGCUACCAAACAAUUAUUGGCUGUAAUAAAAAUAAUAAGAAAGUAAAUAGAACAUAUUAAUCAUGGGAAAAUUGACAAUCUCCCUUACCAGCAAAGCAUUUCUAAGAACAAAAAAAUUUUAUUAACUGGAAAUAGGAAACAGCAGUACAGAAGAAUGACAAGUGACACACAUGCAACUCCGUAGAAAGCUUUUAAAUUAAAUGAAAUGGAUAGACAAGAUAAUCAUUAAGCACACGCAGCAAUUUUAUUCACACUUUUGCGCCUUAUUGCACUUUAUUAUUCAUGAAGGCACGAAACAGGGAGAGAAAGCAUUUUGAGUGGCUUGAUCCUCCCAUUGUAGCUCUUCCCACCAUUCUUUCUUUCCCCAAAUGACAAUUUUAAGUCCCUUUGCGCUGCUGGAAUUGAGCGGGAGCUUCUUCAACUUUGGGCAUUUCGAUAUGCGAAUUUCCUCCAGCUGUGGAAAGGGCAAGGGAUCGCGGUAGAUGCGCUUCAAAUUACUUGCAUUUCCUAGACUCAGAAAUUCGAGUUCUGAGAACAAGUUAAGCUCUCCCAUCAUCUCUGAAACUUCACUCAAUUUUUCAACACUGAUUAUUUCUUCCAUGUCACCACAAUGAUGUAUUCGCAGCCACUUGAGAUUUGGAACAAAAACAAGCCACGUCAAGUCCUUCACAUUUGAGCUUCUCAAGAUGGAAAGUUUACGCAUUUUUUGUACCUCUCCCGCGCAGUCGACAUUCCAGUCUUCCAAAUUACUGUCCCAAAUGCUUAACUCCUCAAGAUGCUCCAUGUUUGCUAGAUGCAACAAAUUGAGCGGUAGACUGUUGCAGUGUUCGAUGUGCAGUGCUUGAGUGAUAUUCUGCAGCUUUGGGAAUUUCAGAAAGUUUUCAACACCACGCGAACCAUGUAAGGACAAGGUGAUGAGAUUUAAUUGUUCCAAACAGUGGAUUUCCUUCAUCAAUGAUUCAGCAUCAUCGGAUAGAACGUUGCCUUCUUCCACUAUUGGCCGGUGGUUUGAACCGCAACGCAGCAUCCUGAGUACCUGUAACUUCGAAAAGCUUGAU